AUGGCAUCCAUGACCAUGACAGCCGCCUCAUUCCUGACCGCAGGCUCAGCCUCAACCAUCGCCAAACCUUCAACUUCCAGCCGCCGGAGCCUCGUCGUAGCCAAGGCCGCCGCCAGAGCCCCAGAGGGAGAAACAAAGAAAGAAGAGAGCAGCAGCAGCAGCGGGAGGAGGGACUUGAUUUUUGCGGCUGCGGCUGUGGCGGCGUGCUCUCUUGCCAAGGCUGCUUUGGCGGAUGAGCCUAAGAGGGGGAGCAAAGAGGCAAAGGAGAAGUAUGCUCCUGUUUGUGUCACCAUGCCAACUGCUCGUAUCUGUCGCAACUGAGUAAACCACUACGUACUUUCAUUUGCUUUGAUUCAGUCACUCGUGGUGGUUGUAUUAUAAUCGUUCUACAACUUUGUAUGAUGCUCUUGUAAUUUUUCUUGGGACAGAUCUGCCUUCUUCCCUCUUCUCAUAUUACAUGUUUAUGUCACUUUUUAUUUUUCUAAAUUUUCUAUGUUGUUAACUGUGCGGAGAGAGCAAAGGGUCUGGUAGCUCAAGUGGUUUAAAACGCAUUUGAACCAAGGGCUUUUGCAUUAAAAAACAACAUGCGGCACAUAAAGAUUCUGGAAUCAAAUUCACUACUUUAGGUAUUGGAAAAGUGAUGAUUUCUAUAGUCCAACUGUAGAACAAAGUUCUACUAUGUCAUCGAUAAUGUGUCAAUAACAUUGUAACUAGCAAAACGUACCGACAUAUUAUCAAUAUAUAAUAUCAAUAAUAGCAAACGAAAAGACAACGUGCAUAUAAGUACAAACCAGCAAACAUAUUACCUUUCUUGAACAGCAUGCAAUCCUCAUGUGGUAUGAUUAUGGCUCUAGCAUUAUGGCAGAGCUUCGUAUUUUAGUUGGUAAUUUUGUAGUCCAACUAUGAAACAAACAUUCGUUCUAGCAAUAUGUCAUUGAUAUGAUGUUUUAGCAGUGUAGUCAACAAAACAUAUUGGGAUAUAUUAUCAACAAUAUUGAUGAAAGAAUGGACAUCUUACACCGAGGAUUUAUGAUAAGUUAUGCGCCCCAAAAGAUGGGCUAGAAUGCUGCAAGGCCCUUGGUCGUGUGGUACUUGCUAGUUGCUACAUACUAGUGAGCAGAGACUCCUUUCAGAAACCUAUACCACCACUCCUCGCCAAAAGGACCGACGCGGCAACACCAGUCAAAUUGCAAACCGCAGCAGCAAUCUAUGGAAUCUAAACACCUAGUCCGGCUUGUCUGGAUCGAACAUAUUGAGUUAAAUUUUCUUGCCAUGGGUUUAUAUGACUCUUUACGUGAUAAGAGAGAGAGAGAGAGCAAUGAUAUACAACCCCGAUAGGUACGUAUUUUACAGGUCCAGGUAUGUCAAAAAAAAAAAAAAAACUGUAAGUCAAGAACCAACUGCGAUCCUCCGUUGUUGAACAGCUUCACAUAAUAUACAUUCUAACUUUUUUUCUUUCGGAUUGAGAGAAUCAGUUGAAAACAUGCGAACAAUCUAAACAGCCGAAAACCGAGAUUUUAUUAAACCAUAACAAUAAUUAAGGAACAGGACUUUAGCCCGAAUACAGGAAACACAAAUCCAAGACACAAAACUUGGAGAGAGAAUCAGGGACCAAAUCCAAGACACAAAACUUCGAUACAAAAUAGUACCAAAUCCAGCCCCCAUUUCGAGUAGCAGCUUGGAGAGAGAAUCAGGGACAUUGUCCAUCAUUCGCCUUGGCAACUUUGCCCGGCAGCAUAAAAGACUGCAACACAAUUUUCGUGGCAAACUCAUUGGCUUUUCCCAUUGUGCUGGGAAGCAACAAAAUUGCGAAUAACUUCCAUUGCUAACUGGUGAGCAUUCUUAUUCUGCAGCUUUGCAAGUUCAUCCACAGCUUCAUACGUUUCCUUAUCAGCAAAAAGUUUCAAGUUGUAACGUGUUGGUGAUGCCUCUGGACCUUCCCAUUUGUCAACCAACUCUUGAAGUUUCUCAAAUCCCUGAUAACAAUAUACCAAUUAGAAUGACCAACAUAUUUUCUUAACACAGUAUUUGAGAUUAAACCACCUUCUUAAUCCUUCGAAGGCCUACAUAUAAUUUAAAAUCUAAUUUAUAACUUACCAAGCGGUUUGUGAAGUUGCCAAAUGACUCUUUAGAUUGUCGUUUACGUUUCCAGUAAUAGAACAAAGGUUCGAAAACCUUUUCAAGGUCUUGAACCUUGACCUUGUUCAUGAAGGAUUUUGCGAGUGAGGUUUGAUUGGAUGUUCCUCCAAGCCAGAUCUAUUUGAACACAAACAGAAAUGAAUAAACGCUCAGUUGCUUUCUUGAUAAUCUGGAUUUGAGCACGAUCAAUAUUGCAACGGAUGUGCCAGAAUUUGAAUUACCUGAUAGCUAUUUGGACCAUCACCAACUAGUCCAAGUUCAGCCAUGUAUGGCCUAGCACACCCAUUAGGGCAUCCAGUAAUCCUUAUAACUACUGAUUCAUUGUACUUCAGACCAACCUGAAAUUCAAAAGAAAAAUUUAUCACAUGCAAUCUAAUUCGUUAUCAAUAAAUGAUCUUGAUUUUCCACCUUUUGUUGGUGCUUUGUGAAAUGUGCUUGUUAUUAUGGUAAUACCUUCUCAAAUACUGCUCGAACCCGCUUAAGAAUGUCAGGUAUACCUCGUUCAGCUUCAGUUAUUGCCAGUGGGCAUAGUGGGAAGGCUGGGCAUGCCAUGGCAGUUAGGUUGAGGGGGUCUACAAACCUAGGAUGCUGCCACAAUUGUAACUGGUUAGUAUGAACCCAAUUUAUAAAAAUUCAUAAUGUAUGAAACUUUCAUAUAAUAGACACAACAUAUUCCAAACAUUUCCAGAUAGACAACAUAAUAACAGGUGAAUAAGACAAUCCAUCAUACCGGGUUGAUAAGGUUCAAGUUAUUGUUGAUUCAUAGAAUAGGCAGUGAAUACCCGGUAGGAGUAUGCAGCAGACAAGUUCAUAUUGAUGUCCACUGAAGAGGGAGUAAAAAUAAUUUAAAAAAAAAAAAAAUAUCUUACCAGCAGACCGGCCUUUGCAAGAACUGUGGUGAUGGGACGCUUCCAUGCACUGCGAAUAUCACACAAUAUGAUAUUCUGGUUUGGUGUGAGCCUUAUACUCAAAUUAUACUUUUCUAUAACCUCUCUUAAUGCCUGCUUCAUAACUCCUCCAAUCCGACCAUUAUCAACAUGAAGCCCACAAUAAUAACUGCCAUCACCCUAUCAAACAAAGAUAAAUAGUCAUGACAUAGCGCUUUGCAAUUUGAAACUUAAGACGGAAUCAAAGACAUUCAAUUCUAUAUGUGAAGACCAACAGAACGAACCUGCUUGUGCCAUCCCAAAUGACUUUUGAAUUCCCACUCCGGCAACUCACGGAAAGGCUCAAAUUUCUUUCCGUAGUAUUGUUCCACUACACUUCUGAACUUUUCAAUCCCCCACGAGCUGAUCAAAUAUUUCAUCCUACUAUACCUACGAUCAUCUCUUCUCCCAUUUUCACGUUGUGUAACAACUAUAGCCUUAAUGGCAUAUAGGAUAUCCUCUUUGGGGACAUAACCCAAUGGCUCAGCCAGACGGGGAAAAGUGGAUUCCAUCCUGUGUGUCCUUCCCAUACCACCACCAACCUGCAGAGAAAAUAAUCAGAAAUCUUGCUUGUGGAGAAAAUGAGCUCACAUAUAAAUGUUAGUGCAUAACUUCGUCUUACAUAUAGGUUAAACCCUUGAGGCUCCCCGUUAUCAUCAGAAACAACCACAACACCAAUAUCAUUUGUGAGAAUAUCCACCGAGUUGUCUGUUGGCACUGUAACUGCAACUUUAAACUUCCUGGGCAAGAACUGAGUUCCAUAAAUGGGCUCAGGUGAAUCAGGGAAGUUUGUUCCAUGAGAAUUAUCAUUGCGGGCCUUUGUUACUUCAGGAGAUUCUGCAGUCAGGAACUUUUCUCCAUCCACCCAAACAUCGUAGUAAAAUCCAGACUGUGGAGUCAGCAAUGCUGCAAUGUUCUCAGCAGUCUGCUGUGCGCAAAGGUAAUCCUUUCUUUGUAUUGGAGCAGGAGGAGCAAGAACGUUUCUGUUAAGAUCACCACAGGCACCAAGAGUUGAACCCAUGCUUCUAAUGAUGCUACUCAUUACAGUCUUUAGAUCCUUUUUCAGAACCCCAUGGAGCUGAAACGUCUGCCUUGUGGUCAAACGAAGAGUACCAAUUCCAAACUGAUCAGCAAGAUCAUCCAUGGUCAAGUAUAAUUGGUUUGACACUUUCCCACAAGGGUUCUUGGUACGAAGCAUGAAGGAGUAGGACCUUCCACCACGUUCAUCUCGGUUAUAUUGUUGAUAGCUCCCGUGGAACUUAAUGAGUUGCGUAGCAGCCUCAUUAAUGUUCGGGGCAUCCGUCAAAAUCUCUUCAUUAAGAGGGUAUCUGAUGAAGUUGCUCUGUUCUUUGAAUAUUUCAACCUUACUCCGCUUCGUCUCAGUUGCAGUCUCGGCCUUUGGAGGCUGCAAAACACAGAACCUAUGAAAACAAGCACAUUUCCUACAAACAACUAACGAUAAGCAAUCUAACUAAAAUUCGUUCCACAUUUUCCGAUCGCCGAGGCCCCUCGGAGCCCUAAUGUUUCUAACUCAUUUAUCCCAACCAAUUGAUGAAACUCAACAAAAUUACGCAUUUUAUGAAGAUUUGAUGCACUGCGUGUCAAUUAUGAUAAAAGAAUUACGUAAAAAUUAAGCAUAAAAUAGCCAAAAAAAAUGCUUCAACUUUUCUAGGUUAAUUGAAUAAUUCACAUUAAUCCAUGUUCGAUAAACUCGGUAAAACAUUUUGACAGUGGCGGCGGCGGCAGAAAUUUACAAAAUUAAAUUCAAAUAAAAACUAAUAGAGACGAAAUAAGAUCUCCAAUCGGCCAAACAGUUGAACCAAAGCACAUUUUGGCUCAAUCUCUCUCUCAAAAAGCACAUUAAUUUAUCAUCUUUCUCGAAUUUUCUGAGCAACCAAACAGAUGUCUAACAAAAUAGAGAGGAGGAUCAGACGUUCGAAAACGCACCGUAGCGACGGCUCGAAUAAGCGAAGAGGAAGAAACGGAAGAGAGAGGCACUUGUCGGCUUCUGGUGAGGCAAAGCGAGUUUGCUGAGCGCAGCCCCUGGUACCUCCCAAUCUGCACCUUGGGCUCCCCCAGCACCGCCGUGUUCGUAGCUCCGAACGUCGUCGUCGUCGUCAUACCAAUCAAAACGACGGCGCUUCGAGAGGGUUUACGAGUUAGAGAGGAGAGAGAGAGAUAUAAGCUGCUGAGUUGCGUAGUGGAAUUGAGCGGUGUAGAGCGGGCGGAAAAGAGGGUUUUUUCUUCUUAAUUUUUAAUUCACGCGCCUACCACGGGAACGUUUCUGUUUUGGGGACUGGGACGCGGAGGAUUGGUGCGCGUGGAGUUUAUCUGACAGAAAUGCGAAAUCAGAGUUCGAUACCUGGGUUGAUGUUACAUCGAACCUGGACGGAAUUGCGUGUUUUUAUUUCGGUUUCGCUUUUUUGCAUGGUCAAAUGCGUCUGCGGUUCUUGAUAAAUUGGUUGGACGCGUGUGGCAGCCCUACUACUUCUGAAGGGAAGAGAUGCAGAGAUCCAACUUGGCUUUGUUUUGACAAUCACGGGGUAGCCUGGUAGUUAGGAAUAAAUUUCAGGCCCAUAUCCACACGGUAUGAUUUGGAUUUGAUUUUUGGAGUUGGUAAAUCGGAUGAUGGUAGUUAGGAGGAGUUGAGAUGCCUUUGUAUAUUACGGUUUAGUGAUAUUUUUUUUCAUUUGUCAGCGAGAGAUCUUAAGUUUCAUUCUUGUUAAAGGCGAAUUUGAAUCAUAUUAUUGCUGACCCAUUAUAAGGCCAAGUCCACCACUCCUUAGUGUGAAUAAUAUCGUUUGUUUAAAAAAAAUAAAAAAAAUAAAGUUUUUUUUUUUCGUUAGCAAUGCAUGUCAGUCUUUGGGCACAAUUAGAUUUUUAAAAUGCUACUAACAAUUUUAUGUUUUAUGGUUAAAUCUUGAUUUUUAUGUUUUAAACAAAUAUUUAUGGUUAAAUCUAUUUGUCCGUUUGAAGACAUCCGAUAAAAUUGGAACCAGACAAAUAUUUAAUGAAGCAAACUCAACUCCAAAAGAAUACGUGUCAACUCUAAUUAAUUAGGCUCGAGUUGUCCAAUUUUAAUCAGUUGACGAUGCAAAAUAGUUAUCACACCAAUGAGACAAUAUGUAGGUUAACAUGGUUCAAGCUACUUAUUAUCGAGUCAUUUACCUAAUUCGAAACUCCCAUAUCUUAAAUUAUUAUAAUAAUUUCGAACCAUUCAUCUCACUUUAUUAAUAAUAAUUAAAAGAAAUUGGGGUCAAACUAAAAUUGACUUGACUAACAUAUUAAUUUGGUUAUUCAUUGAGGCGUGGUUUGCACAUGACCAUUGAAAGCAUCUUUAAUGGAGAGAUGCAAAUUUAAAAUGAAAAAAAAAACCAUAUUUGUUGUAGGGCUAUUUUAUUGAUGGAAAAGAGAUGGGGAGGGCCAGAGGCGGACAUAGAGAUAAGAGAGAGUUAGAAAAUUCUAUGGUGUGAUUUCUCACUUCAUAAUGCAUUUAUUUAUAGUAAUGUUUGGGCUCAAAAUAAUAUUUUGGGCCGAGCUUAGAGUCGUUCUCGGUCCUGUAACAUUCAUCUAGAAUCUUGUCAUGGGUUGUCCAAUCAAGGUUGGCCGAAUCCUAUUACGAAGAGGAUUGGUUUAGAUAAGGGUGAGGUAGUCAAACCCUAGUGCAACAAGAAGUCUUAAAGCUAAGGAUGCUUAGAAUUAGGGGAUGAAUCUGGUUCGUUAAGGAGCUUGUUUCAAAGUCCUAUAGGGGUUAGGAUUGGCCCAAACCUGAUAAUAUUGGGUUGAUGAGUUCUAAUCCAAGUAAAUUUCUAGUUUAGCCAUAAAGGGUUUCACUGCUAUAAAUAAAAAGGGGAGUGCAUCAUUUAAGGCCUCUUCAAAUCAACACACAAAUUGCCCUGCGCAAGCUUUUCAACAAUCCUGAGAUUUUUUCCUCUCCCCUUUUCUUCUUGCCAACACAUCUUCAGUUUAGAUAGACAGAGCACUGUGAAGGUAGCCAGCAACAUCUUUAGUUUGGAUAGACAACACUGGAGCUGUAGAAUCAGCCGACCAAUGAACACCUUCAGUUUGGAUAGACAGCACUACUUCGAGGCCGACUGGUUAUUUAUCCAAGUCCUGGUCAACAAGGAUUUCAGAGUCCUUGUUGGUAGAGGUCAUCUCAUCAGCAUUCUCGGUGAAGUGAGGUGUUAUCAGGUUACUACAUUCGGCACAUUGAAAGUCGAAUUUGAAAUUAAACUUCGUAAAACUAGCAACCUUGUUUCCAGGCUUUAUCGUAAGAUCAAGAAGUCAACAACACGCCCAAUGCCACAUCAACAUAUUUUACUCCCCGGCCGAACUAGGCUGACGAGUUGGCACGCCCUACACACAACCGAAGGAUGUAGUUAGCUUAUUAAUUACUCGGCGGGACCCAGUGCUAAAGCUACAAAGUUCAUAACCAUUGAAACACGGUCAGUAAAAAAGAAAACAGUCAUAGGUAAGUCAACGACUAAUCUUCCAUAUACAGUCCAAAACCCAUGGCAAGAUGGCUUGUCACAGGCACAUAAUCCUCAUGAUGCUGUAACAACUGAAGCCACAAGUACAACACGCCAAGAAAAGGAAAUUAAUCUCCGUGGUCAGACUCGUGAUGUAGAAAUCCCCACCAAAAUGACAAAAGAUGUUUUUGUUAAAGAACUAGUGGAGGAUUGUGAUGAUGACGAUGAUGAGGCCUCUGGUCCACCAUUUAGAUCUUUUCGCCAACGACAAUUUGAAGAACAAUCUCAGCAAUUUAAGCAAAUGUUCAGCCGAUAGGUCAAAAGCAUACUUGAAGAGAUGCAUGAUAAUAACACUGUGCAUAACAGAUUGUUCGAAGUUCUAGUUAAUAAAGUCCACAAAAUUGGACUAGCCGAUCGACCCAACCAACCUCAUAUUCAAAAGAAUAAUCCUUUGCUAGCGAUAUAGGUCGAUACAGGAUCUGCUCGGCCUAAAAUGAUUGACUUAGAAAAAAAUGGUGAACCAAGCAGCAAAUUGGUCAGAAUCGACCAAGGAGCAGAAACGGCGCCUGUUGACAUGGUCAAAGUCCAGAGAAUGAUUGAUUCGGCUUUAAAAAAGGGGCCAAGUUCCCAAAAUUCAUUCACUCAUAUCCAGCCUUUGUAGAAAGGUUCGAAUAUCCUAAGGGAUUUAAGAUUCUAGACUUUAGCCUUUUCACCAGAGAAUCAUCCUUAUCCUUAAUAGAACACGUGGCUCGAUUCACUUCUCAAUGUGGAGAUGUUAACAGUGAUUUUCAUAAAAUACGACUAUUCAAUUUCUCGUUAACUGGCUCAGUGUUCACAUGGUACAUCAACCUCCCACCCAACUUCAUCCAAAGCUGGGAGGAAUUAGUCAAGAAAUUUCAUAAGCAAUUCUAUUGGCCAGGGAUAGAAAUGUCAGUUUCUUCUUUAGCCAGGAUGGUUCAAUCAUCUAACAAGUCACCAAUGGAAUAUCUUACAAGGUUUAAAUUGGCCAGAAAUUGGUGCCGAAUACCCUUAAUUGAAGUUGAGUUUGUUAGGCUUGCCCUGAAUGGCUUGGAUGUGGAGUACAAAAAGAAAUUCUAGGGGGCAGACUUCCGAGAUAUAUACGAACUAGCUCAACAUAUCGAGCAAUAUGAUUAUUUGCUCCGAGAAGAGAAAAUCUUGAAAUCCCUAACCCGAAGAACAAUCUACAAAAAUCCAACGGUAAGUUAUGCAUCGGCCGAAGGCGUAGUGUCCUAAUAUGCCAGUAUAGAUGCGGCCGAGAUAGUAAUUACCAAACUAUACGUAUGCAAAACAUUAGCUCACGUUAAUUCCAAAGAUGUCAAAACUUGCUCGGCCUCUGUGGAAGCCAUAGUCAAAACGUCAAAGGUCUACACUUUUGACAUUACCAAGGCCGACGCUAUUUUCGACCAGUUGUUACUUGCAAAAAUCGUCAAGCUUUGGCCAUGGAAUAAUAUUCCUAAGGCCGAAGAUUUGAAAGGAAAGACGUUUUGCAAAUACCACAACUCAAACAAGCAUACGACAAAUAAUUGUGUCGUAUUUCGCGAUGCCAUCCAAAGCUAGAUCGACAAUGGAAAACUCAAGUUUCCCAAGAAACCUUAAAUGAUCAUUAACGUUGAUCUUUCCCUCCGACUAUAGUAAGUAUGGUAAAUGCUCAUCUACCCAAGCACAAGAGAAAAGGAAAAGCUGGGUUCAUCCCGAAGCAGUAUGUCCCUAAGCAUAAUUCUCAGCCACGAUUGAAAAUUGAUCUUACUUCGAACGAACCACCCAAAUACUUUCAAACCCAGCUUAUGCCGAGUCAAUGUCGGACUUCAGCAUAGAGGAAACUGAUAGUCCGAUGGUUUUAUAUAGUCGGUGCCAAUUAAACGUCAUCAUAACUGAGCCGAAGGAACAUCCAUUUUGGGUUGAAGCACCGCAACUGGCGCUGUAGCUGUGGCAACAUCUCAAAAAAUGCUCGGUGCAGGCCAACGCUAGAUAGCGACUUGAUUUUGAUUGCGCCAUUUUACAAUGAAGAUUAUUAUGUGCGUAACUCUGGUAGCUUAAGUUCACCCGUGAAAUGUCGAACCUUCAAGCCACCUGAGUCACGCGACCAGUGUUGGUAUAGCUACAACCAAUCUACCGGUGCAUAUACUGUGUUGUUUAAAUCGCAGAAAUGUCGUCACCAAAGAAUAAACUGUAUGGCUAAUUGAUAAGUAGCCUAGGCUACCCCAGCUACCAAAUGGCAACAGAAAGAAAUGGUGGGUAACGAAGAUGACCGACAACCUCCGGCAAUCAUGAUUGAGCUGUUUCAAGGAAAUAAGGUAAUUGAUCCUGAUCUUGAAACCACGGUUGAAGAAUAUGAGAAAUGAAUCAAAUUCCUUCUUCGACCUGGGGAUAUGAAAACUCACCUCGAGCACUUUCAGAAGGAAGUCAAAAGCAAACUUCCUCCGCUACCCCCAUAAGAGCCAUUAAUUAAAGUUAGACAGAAUUGCCACCCAUCGCUUCUUGGUGAGCCUUUGGAAUGCAUGCAGGAGUUUCACAAGAAGCAUUCGGCUAAUGACUUGUAUGGCUUGCCAAAAGCAUGCCAAGAGUUUCUUGAUCUGGUGUUAACCUACCCUAAUGCCAAAUAGAUCAUAAAAAAAUAGUCUGAUUUGGGAAUGAAGGAUAGGUUUCAACAUAUACGCGAAGCCCGAGUUCUCGACUUUGAGGUAGAACCACAUACUGAUAUUAAUAUUGCCGAUCUUUCUUUCUUUCUCAAGGACCUCCAAUAUCUGCGGUACCAUUUUGAAGUUUUCUCAGUCGUUUCCCUCUUCGGCCUUACAACCGAUGAAAAAGAGCGCGUGGCUUUACAAGCGCAAGACCAAAGUCCAAUGUCGAGAGAGUCAGUGGUCAAAAUUUAAAUCGAAACAGCUCCGACAGACAUGCCAUAUAAACGUGUUUUUACUGCAGCUAAAGAUAGGCAAACUUGUAAUGCCCAUGAGCAAGACAUCUUGCCUAAAAAUACAAAGGACAAAGAUCACAACCUGAUGGGCCCUUUGGUCCUCGACAUCUUGGAAAUAGCAUGAUCCAUGUCUUACCUGCAGAAUUCUGGUCGACACAUCCUAACCAAAUUUCCUGGAUUUUGAUGUGAUUAUCGAGGGGGCCACGCAAGUUGAUUUUGUGGUCACCAAAGAAAUUAAGCAAAUAAGCAAAGAGGAUAAACUUAAAGCAUCUCUCGUUGAACUAUUUCCCCGUUCUUCAUCUAUUAAUCUUCAUCACUUGAAGCCGUUGUAUGUCAAGACCCAUAUUGAAGGAUACCCAACUUCCAAAUUUUUUGUCGACUGUGGAGCAACGAUCAACAUCAUGCCCAUUUCUAUCAUGAAAGCAUUACAUCGCUCCAAAGACGAACUCAUUCCAUCAGGGGUAAUCCUGAGUAGCUUUGUCGGCGAUAAAUCUCACACUAAGGGAAUGCUUCCUUUAGAGGUGAAUAUUGCAGGUUGAAAUCACAUGACCAUAUUUUUUAUAGUCGAUUGAGUAUAAUGCAUUGCUUGGUCGUGACUGGAUCCACCAAACUGGCUGUAUCCCUUCGUCAUUAUAUCAAGUCUUUAUCUUUUAGGACAACAAAUCAGUUUUAGUUUAUCUGGCCGACAAUCAGCCGUUCGAAGCUAAUAUGAUUCAAGCUCGCUAUUAUGAUGAUCAUGUUGGCUACAUCACCCUGCAAGGUUUCAAUGAAGAAUGACGACCAACUCGGAUCUUAGUUUAGAAAGCCAUAGAGGUUGGCAUCGAGACUGUUUAGCAGGAUUCAGCAAGACUCGGGUUGGCUAGCCUAAUUGAUGAUCUUGAUGCCUAAUACCAAACAGGAUAAACGCCGGACUACGGUUUCAUCUAUCAUGGAACGCUUGCUGGCUCAUUGGUAUACUAUUUCCAAGCAACCAAAUUCUGGUGUGAACUUAGUAGAGUUCCUCGCCGAAAGAGACAACGGUCCAGUCUUAUCAUUUGAUAAAGUCAAAGAUGCCCUAGCCGAGCUUGAAGACAGUCGACCCCAAGUCAAAGAUCUAUUAGACAAAAUAAAUGUUAGAAUGACCGAUGACCCUCAGCCUUUAUUUAUUAGUUCUUUAUUGUCGUAACCUAUAAAAAUUGAGCUUUGUAAACUGUUCAAAGAAUUUAAACACUGUUUUGCUUGGAGUUACCAUAAGAUGUCUGGCCUGGAUCGAUCACUCGUUAAGCACGAAUUACGUAUCAAGGUUGGUUGUAAACCUUUUCACCAACACUCCGACGAUUCUCGAUCAAAGUUCAGCUUGGCAUAAAAGAUGAAUUCAUUUGACUUUUAAAAGUUAGUUUUAUUCAAACAGCUCGAUAUGUCGAAUGGUUGGCGAAUAUUGUCUCCAGUUUUAAAGAAAAGUGGUGCUCUACGUAUUUGCAUUGAUUUUCGUAAUUUAAACUUAGCAAUCCCUAAAGACGAAUAUACCAUGCCAACUCUAGACUUGUUAAUCAAUGCUGCAGCAACCAUGAGAUAUUAUCUUUCAUGGACGGCCAUGCUGGUUACAACCAAAUUUUCAUUGUUGAGGCAGAUGUCCACAAAACUGCUUUUCAUUGCCCCGAGGCACUCGGGACCUACGAAUGGGUCAUCAUGCCUUUUGAACUUAAGAACAUCGAUGCUACAUAUCAACAUGCUAUUGAUGAUGUUGUGGUCAAAUCGAAGCAUUGCCAAAUACAUUUAGAUGAUUUUUGGCAAACUUUCCUUUGUAUGCGCUAACAUAAUCUUAAAAUGAAUCCUACCAAAUGCACCUUUGGUGUAUCGGCAGACCACUUCUUGGGUUUCCUUGUACAUUAUCGUGGCAUCAAGGUAGAUUAGAAUAAAGCUUGAACGAUCAUUGAUGCUCCACCCUCGACAAUCAAGAAGCAAUUACAAUCCUUACUCGACAAAACCAAUUUCCUUUGCCGUUUCAUUUUUAACUUGGCAGGGGACAUGAAGGCUUUUUCCACGCUCUUGAAACUUAAGAUUCUGACAAAUUCAAAUGGCGCAAAGAACAUCAGGACGCUUUCACGAAAUCAAGGUCUCCCUCACUACCCCACCUGUCCUCGUGUCACCUUGGUACGGUAAACCUCUUAAGUUGUAUAUCUUGGUUGUCGAGGAAUCCAUUGGCUGUCUUCUUCCGCAAGACAACGACAAUGGGCGGGAGCAAGCCAUUUUUUAUCUUAGUUGGAAUCUUAACUCAGCUGAGAUAAAUUAUUCAGCCGUUGAAAAACUUUGUUUGGCUUUGUUUUUCACUAUGUCCAAAUAGGCAUUACAUGCUCCCUUAUGUUACUUAGCUCACCGCCCAGACAGAUGUUAAUCACUAUAUGCUCACUCAGUCGAUAGUAAAAGUCCGAAUUGGAAAAUGGACAAUGGCUUUAUUCGAAUUUAGUUUGCAAUAUGAGCCCCAAAAAGCUGUCAAAUGAUAGGCGCUAGCCAAUUUCUUAGCUCAACAUCGUUCUCCAUACGAUUUUGGGGUCAACAAUGUCAAAAUUGGCAUGGUAGAAACACGUGAUAAUUAUUGGACGAUGUAUUUUGACAGCUCUAGUACCUCGACCUCUGCCGGCAUUAGAAUCGCCAUCCAGUCCCCUGAUUACUACCGAUGGUAUUUUUCUCUCAAGUUGGAUUUUGAUUGUACAAACAAUCAGGGUGAAUAUGAAGCCUUUGUCAUCGACUUUAAUGUCCGUCACGACUUGAAGGUAGCCCACGUGCUCGUCCUCGGUGAUGCAGAACUUGUGAUUAACCAACUUAAUGGGACUUUUUGUUACAUAAGUUGUACUUUGGCGCCUUAUCAUAUGGUUGCCAGCUAUUUAGCCAAAUCAUUUGCAGGCAUUACGUUCAAGCACAUCUUACGAGUUCGAAAUACUAAUGCAGAUGAGUUGGCUCAAAUAGCCUCUGGAACACAACUCCUGUGGGGGCGAAUUGGGCCAGGUCAUACCAGUGAUGCGAUGUCUACACUCGGCCUUGUUUAAUCAACAAGUUCUCCAAUAAGACCAUGUAAUGCGUACAUGAGUUAUGUCCAUACCUUCGUUGUUGGAACUGUUGGAGAUAUACCAAGAAAGUCAAUCUUUGGAAGAAACCUUUCAGGACAAUGUUUAUAUGUGUAGAUAACUCUACUACUGCAAAAGGCAAAGUUACUCAUUAGGACUAUCUCAAUAAACGAUAUACGUCAAAAGUAGUGAAUCCAUGGACAAUGGAUCGAUGGAAGAAGUAAUUUAAUGAUGUUAGACUGCAGAGACCUUCUUCACAUAACCAUAAUGUCCAAAAGGUUCUUGGUCAUAGGAUUGUCAGAGGGAUACUGACAAUACAUAGACAAGUCCAUACUAUAUCCCCUUCAAAUGGGAAGGAUGGAAAGUCUCAAGCCAUUUGUGUAGUGACACUAAGACAAGUAUGUAGAUGCUCAUUAAGGGAAUGAGUUCACUGAACACAAUCAAACGAGAGUACUUACAUGGAGGUCUACUCACAUGUCAAGCAAGUAACUCUACUGGUUAGAAUAAUGUAAGUAAUCCUUUGACCUGAGACAUCAUAGUUGUCUUGGGGAUACGUUGCUAAUCAUUUGAUAAUGAGACGUGACCACAUCUCAUCUUGGAUGUGUUCUAUGCAUUGUUAGGGUCAGUGAGUUAUUCUCAGAGGCAUGUGAAUGAUCAACAAGAGAUCUCUAAUCCUUGUUAUGAGAGGAAAAAUACUCUAAGUUAUGAUUUAGGAAUCUUCGACUGAAGUAUCAAGUGUAAUGAUGAAAGGCGUUCCUCUACAACUCAAUUGAAUCAUAUAACUUAGUAUAAUCACAUUAGAGGUUUGACAUAAAGUAUCCAUACCCUAGUAAUGUGAUUGUGAGUAUUGUAUUAGAGAAGGAUUGAAUUACAUUGUAAUUCCAAGUAAAUAGGUUCUCUGACCAAAUUCCACAUUAGCUUGGGUAGCCAUGAUAUAUGGUUAGAUGUCACUCAUGGCUUGUGGGUUCUUCUAGAUGAUUAAAUAAGUAGUCAUCAAAGAAGAAAAGGAGAAUUAAAAGUAAGUUUUAAUUCACUAAGUGAUUGCGUAAACACUAAUCAAUUGGAUUGACACCAAUCACAUCACUGCCUCGCUAAUUGAAACCUAAAACGAUUGUACACCGAUACACUCGUGUGUUGAGAGAAUUAACAGAUGAAGGAAUUAAUUAAUUGGAUUAAUUAAGUGUUAUGAUUGAUUAGAAUGUCUAAAUAAAUCAUAGAGACGAUAAAAUAUCGUUUUGGGCUUAAAGAAAAGUACGGGUACUUUUGCGUCCAUUGGGCCCAAACCCAUUGGGCUUUUAAUUCAAACACAAAAAUGACUUAAAUUAAUAAAAGCCAAAGCCCAAACUAACACAUAGUGGCCAGCCAUUAGGGUGAGUAAAGGAGGGAGGGUAAAAGUUAAUUGUUAACUUACUUAUCUCACCUUUAUAUUGAAAGAUAGAGGAAAAGGUUCCUUAGGGUUUUUGUGUGAGCUUUUGCUUCAAGGGAAAACAAAAUAUCUCUCUCUCAGACACACACACAAGGCCGGCCACUAAGAGGAGAAAAUAGCUAAUUGUCUCUUCUCCUUUUGGUUAUUCCAACAUCCAUCUCACUACACUAGUGGGUGUGGAUCUUUAGAGGUCUUCUACCUUGGAGACUAGAGGAGAAUCAAAGGAGUUCCAAACCUAUCAAGUUGGAACUUCCAGGAGGAGAGGUCUUGAAGGUGGUCACUUAUUGGACUCAAGUCAAGGUCCAAAGGUAAAAAAAAAACAAAAAAGAAAACAAAAAAAAAAAAAUCUCUCCUUAAACUUGUUUUUCAAUAAGUUUCUUAGAUGCAACAAAUAUGAACCUAUGCUUCUUAAAAGGGAUUUGCAUGACUAUAGCUCUGAUAAUACGCUUCCAUUGUUUAUGCAUGUUAGUUUUGAAUUGAAUAUGCAUGCUAGUCACUUGAAAUCCCACUUAAAUCUCAAUAUUUGCCUUCAAGUGGUAUCAGAGCCAAAGAUUUAUAUUUGAUGUGUCCUUUUGGAUUUUAUGCAUAUGGGUUUUGAUUUUAUGUUUGACAUAUUAUUUCUUCAUUCUAGAUAUGUUUAUCUUUUGUUUUUCAAGUGUUGAAAAAUGUGUUUCAAGAAUUGAAAAGGAUAUGUAUGCAAGAAGUGUUUUGGAUGCAUGAAUGAAGAGUGAUUUUUUGAACAAAAUUUGGGGUUUUUUUCUUCCAUGGGGAGGGCACGGUUUUUUUUUUUUUUUUUUUUUUGGGGGGGGGGGGUUGGCUUGUGUUGGUUCUUUUUUAGUCACACACACACACACUUUUAAGCUAGAAACCCAAGUCUUUGUCACUUUUGUUUUUGGUUUGAAAAACCACCAAGAAAGCUAAAAUCUUGAAAUUGUUUUCAUGGUUUUGUUCUUGGUGUUCAUUUUUUUUUAUUCUUGUUGUUCUUUUUUUUUUGUUUUUUUUUGUUUUAGGAGUUAAUCUUUGUUGACUAUUGUUAAAUUUGUUUUAAAAACCAACCUAGAUUUACUCCAUCCUAGACAAGACUAGGAGGCCAUACCUAAAAGUACAGCAACUACAAAAAGGUGACAAGAAAAAGCAUGACCCUUUAUUUUUUACAUAAAGGGAGAAGUAUGGUCUUCUCACUCACCCAUCAUGCCUAGGCCGGCCAUACCCUUUCAAAAGGCCCCUUGUAGGCUCUUUUGCAAUUUGAAAAGUUUAUUAUACUUUCUAUAUUUGCAUUUCGGCCCCACCUCACUAGAGGACAAAAUAUUUUUUUUUAUUUUUUUAUUUUUUGUUUUUUUGUUUUUAAUUUUAUUUGUAGUUUAAACUCAUCAUACAAUUAUGCCCAUAUGUACUAAAUCAAAUUGAUUAUGUUGCAUUCAAAUUUAAUUACUUAAUGUGUUUAAGUAGUUAGAGAAAUUGUUGACUAUAGACUUGUGCCUUAAACGAUGAUUGGGCUACGAGCUAGGCCGCUAAAUUUAAAUUGUUUGAACCUUGGGAAUGUGUUUUAAUUAUCAAUUUCAAUUGGACCACAACACGUUAGACAUUAAUCUUUCUCUCCCUCUUAGUAUAUGUAAUAUGUAGGAAUUUGUACAAAUCGGUUUGUAAUUCUUAUUACUUCUUUAUCUCUUUCAAUUAGUUGAUUCCCUCUAGUACUAGACUAGAGUUUCUGUAACUAUUGGUAAGGAGACAUAUUAAAAGGGGUUUUCAUAAGAUUAAAGAUUUGCUGGGUCCAACGCCCUGAUUAGCAAUGAAUGAUUGUCUUUCGUUUCUAAUGGCUCAAUGAAAAUGUUUUAAUUGGAUUGAAAGCGCAUAAUUAAAACGAUACAAUCUUCCCUAGAUUUUAUUCAACAAUGUUGGCUCGUUGUUGAAUCGACCUAAUAAAUUCAUAGUCAUCCAAAGAGCCUAAGAUAACUAUUAGGUCCAAAAAUAGUGGGAGCAUCAUACGCUACUAAACUAAAAUGAACACAAUUAGUAGUAAUAUAUCUUCAAUAUUUUGAAAUUUUUUUUAUAUUGAUUUUUUUUGCUAAAACGAAUAGUGGAGCUAUCAUAUGCUACUAAUUUCAUUUACUUUGGACUAGUAGUUGUAAUAGGACACAAUUUAUUAUAAUAUGCUUAAAUAAAUAAAAUGAUGAGACCUUAAAAUCCCUUAAUCAACAUCCAAUAUUAAGUUGAAAAUGGAGAGGUGCUUUGAAUACUUCUUCAUGGCCUUUCACCAUGGUAGGCUCCCAUCGUUUAUAACUCAUACACCGCCUUCACCUUAUCAUGGGGGAGUUCAAAGUAUGUGCUUAUACUCAGGAGGAGUCUUUUUCAACAUUUGAUGUGGUGAAGGUAGGUAAUGAGUAUGGCCAAUAUCAUAUCAUUGUGAGGUCAUACUACCCGAACCAGCAUGGUGGGUCAAAACUUAACUAAGAGAAAUGGUGCCAACAUCAUAUCAUUGUAAGGCAUUGUUCUUUAGAGGCCAACAAGAUGGGUAAUCACAAAAGGUUGUUGUGAAUGGGUAGCUCUACCCUCUCCUUAUUAUUUUUGCUAGCCAACAUCGUACCAUUGUGAGGUGGGCUUGGUAAUAGUGAGCCUUCCAUAACCCAUUAGGAGCUUUCUUUGAAAUCUCUCAAAUUCGAUCUUGAGGGAUAUGAGAUUUGUCAAAAAUAGUGGGUGGUGUCAUUCGGUUUAAAGACCCGAAUCGUUUGACUUAAUCAACAAUCAAACUAAUUUAUUUUAUUGUUAUGUAUUUAGAUAUGGUUGGAAGCACACUAUCAAAAAUACUUGACAAGCAUUGCCUUGAGGGGCACAAUUUCCCAUCUUGGUACCGUAAUGUUAAGAUUCUCCUAACCUUGUAGAAAAUUGUUUAAGUACUAGACAAGGCUCCACCUCACAUACCUCCUGGCCCUGAGGUCAUUGAGGAUGAGUGUGCUAAGUAUGACAAGCAUGUUGAGGAUGGUACACAAGACAAGUGCUAUCUGUUGACUUCCAUGAAUGAGGAGCUGCAGAGACAGUAGGAGGGUCUGGACAGUGCAUCCUCCAUUAUACUCCAUCUUACGGAUUUAUAUGGUGCAAGGACACGCAACCGUCGCUUCAGCACUGUCAGUGAACUUGUGAAGACCAAAAUGGUCAAAGGCGCCCAAGUACAUCAACAUGUACUGAAGAUGAUUGGACUCAUUGAGAAACUGGAGCACCUAGGUACUCCACCUAACGGGGAAUUGGCCCAGGACUUCAUCUUGGCUUCUCUUCUGAUUCGUUCUCGUAGUUCAUCAUGAACUUCAACAUGAAAAAGAUGGAUAGCACUUUCUCUGAGUUACUAAAUAUGUUAAUAAUCGCUGAGAAGACUAUGAAGAAAGAGAACGUGGUGGGGACUGGUGUGAAAAUUUACUUAACACACAAAUUAAACCCUCUUGUAUCAAUUGUAGUAAAGAAUGUAAGUAGGGAUCGUUCUGGACCGAGGAUUAGGAGGGCUUGCUAAUAACCUCUAAACUGACCUAAAAACAUAUAAACAAAGUUAAAAACAUUAAACUAGACUCAAAGAAUUCAAAACAAACUCAAAGAACUCAAAACAAGCUAAAAAACGCUCAAAUAUGCCUAAAAACACAAACUGGGCAGAUUUGGACUCUAAACACACUUUUGGACAAAUUUUGGUUUUAACUUGCUUCGAAAUACUUAGAAACACAAACUAAAUCAGUUUCUAACUAAUAUGACUCAACAAGGUAAAUGGGGUUUUGGUUGAUUGAACAGUAAACUUCACUCUUGUCGGAAACCGUUGGAUGAUUGAACAAUAAACUUCACUCUUGUCGGAAAUCGUUGGAUGAUUGAACAAUAAACUUCACGUGCUUUUUACUUCACCAGAAAUCUUCAACAGAUUGCCCGUAAUUUCCGCAAGGCUGAGUGUGCAUGUGACAGAUGCUGACACGUCUGGAAAAACGAGUGCCUCUUCGAUAUCUGGAAUCGGCGCUUCGACAAACUGCCCGUGAUUUCCGCAAAGUUGAAUAUGCAUGUGACAGAUGCUGACACGUCAGGAAAAGCAGACGCCUCUUCGAUUUCUGAGCUUGCCUCUUCGAGUUCUGAGCUCCAUCGAGUGCAGAGGUUGCAUGUGACAAGUGUGGAAAAAUCUGGAAAAGAAGAUUGGCCCGUGGUUUCUGAGCAAGCCCAGCUUUUGAGAAAACUAGCGCCUCUUCGAUUUCUAAGAUCGCUUUUUUGAUCUCUGAAAUCCCAUCGAGUGCUGAUUUUUAUAGAGGCACGCAGUACGUUUCAAAGCACACUUGAAUUUCUGCCUGUAGAAAUUCCCUUCUUGAACUUCUACGAUCUUGACUUGUACGACCUCUUCUUUCUUCAACACCUUUGAAAAUGUCUGGCCUCUCUGACCGUCGUUUUGACUUAAACCUUGGUGAAAAGGCAGCCAUGCCUUCUCCAUACAACAUAUGGCACCCAUCCUUCAUAUCCCUUACUGGUUCUCUUACCGUUGGGGAUUCGGUGAUGAAGAUUAAUAUGACCGCUGUGGUGGUGGCCCGGAACCUUGUCACUCCCAAAGAUAACAGAUUGUUUUCCAAACAGUUUGAUGAGUUGGCUGUUAAGGAUUCUCUGGCUCUCAGUGUGCAGUGUGCAGGUUAUGUGUUUAAUAUGGCCCAACGCCUAUUUGCUCGAACCCGUCAAGUGGAAUCAUUGGCGGCUGAAGUGAUGAGUCUCAAACAGGAGAUUAGAUGGCUCAAGCAUGAGAAUAAAUAGUUGUACAAGCUCGUACAUAACUAUGUUACAAACAUGAAGAGGAAGAUUGACCAGAUGCAGAAAUCUGAUGGUCAGAUUUUACUUGAUCAUCAGAGGUUUGUGGGUUUGUUCCAAUAGCAUUUGCCUUCGUCUUCUGGGGCCGUACCGCGUAAUGAAGCUCCAAAUGAUCAACCUUUGAUGCCUCCUCCUUCUGGGGCUCCGCUGACUACUGAGGCUCUGCCGACUACUGAGACUUCUCCUAAGCAGCCUUUGUGAAGGCUUCCUCUUGUAUUUUCUGCUUAAUGUUCCUUUUUUUCAUGAAAAUGAAUGUAAAAAUACCUUGCAUAUUUGUCAAUGUUUCAAAAAUAAACCCACACGAAAAACAAUUAAACAAGCAACAAAUAAAUAUGACAAUCAUGGAAAAAUAAAACUGCAGAAAAUGGAAGAUUUUUAGAAACGCAAAACUUAUUGUGGAGUGAUUCAAAAAUCUUCCUUAUUUGAAUACAUGGGUUGCCUCCCAAGAAGCGCUUGCUUUAACGUCUUCUAGCCGGACGAUACCUCCUUCUAAACUUGGAUAAGGCCCAUAGCAUGGAAUUGAUCCUUGAAUGGAAGGUGAUACUUGAUGUGAUCCGGCAAUGGUUUAAAUUCUAGUGUAGGUGCUUGAAUCAUCAAAAUCAGCAAGUUAGUAUAUAAUAAAAUUGAAGUUGAAGAAUAUGGCUUACUUGCUUGCUCCAACACAAACUUAACUACGAACACCACAUCUUUGAAGGUUGCAGGGAUAUAGGACUUGGCCAGAUUUGGUGUUUUAAGAGUUAUGACUUUUCCCGUGUCAUAAAAUCUAACUUCUUUGGGAAUUUUCGUCUCAAGUGUAUCUUUUUUGAUGAAUUCUAGACAUUCCCCAUCCACUUCUUGCUCUUGAUUCUUUGGAAAGGUUUCGAAUAUGCCUUUCUCACCCUCUUCUUCCUUGGAUUGCAUGAUCUUGCAAGGAAUAAGGACAUUUGGUGAAACGAGGUCAGGACAAAUUGAAUUUAGGCUUACCUUGGUUGUAGUGGACGGCAUAGAGGGCAUAUAGGGAUGCGGCAAAGGUGGUUCUUCCCUUGCCGUGGCCUUGUUAUUCUCCUAUUCUUCAAGCAGCAGCUGUUCAUCCAUGUUUUGGCUUGGUUUGGAUGUCUUGGGUUCACCUCCAACCUCCAUAGCACUUCCCAAAGUGAUAGCAUCAUGGAUUUCAAAAUCUUCCUUCAAAUUUUCAAUAGUUAAGUUGGAGAGUUCACUUUGCUCUUGAAUUUGUGCCAUGAACUCCAUAAUCUGCCCAAUUUUCUUCUUCAAUUCACCCGUCUUCUUGGCUUGAUUUUGCAUCUCUUUGUUUCAAUUUUCUACUUCCUGGUUCAAAGAGGUGAGUAACUUAUUAAACAUAUCAUUAUCCAUAGACGUACUUGAAUUGAAUUGGGCAGAUUGUUGUGGUGGCUGUGAUGGUUCAUAUGGCCAGUGAUAGAACUCAUCCGAUGACAGCAAAUAUUCUUCUUGUUGUGAGCCCUGCGUCAAAGAGGUUAGUACAUCAAGAAUUUCAUCAUAACUCAUAGGCAUACUUGAAUUUGAUUGGAAUUGUUGUGGAGGAGGUUGUGGUGGUUGCAUAGGUCUUGAAUAGAACUCCUCUUCUUGCUGCCAAUAUCCAUCUUGUUGGAAUUGUUGAGGUUCUCCCCACAUGUAAUCUGAAUAAUCUCUUUAAUCCGAAUUGUAAGCAUUGGAAAACAUGUUGUCCCAUGAUUGGCUAUGGCCUUGAUAACCCCAAGCAUCUUCAUUCGCAGCGAAUUGAGAACAUUGAUAAGUUGGAUAUCCUUGCCCAUAGGACACACCAUAUGUAGGGACACUUUGCAUUGUGGUCAUUUCGGCAUAUUGUGACAAUUGAGAAGUAAGUUUCGCCAAUUGAGCUUCAAUGGUAGUAAAAUCCAUGUCUUACUUCUCUAGUACCUGAAAUCAAGGAAACAAAACUAAAUCAAAUAUCAAAAGUAAAAAAAAAAAAAAAAACAGAAACAAAGUCAGUAACUAAAAACAGAAGACACGAAAAUAUACAAAAAGAAAUAACAAGGGAUUAGCAAAGUUGCUAAUCCCCAGCAACGGCGCCAAAAAUUUGGUGCGAAAAUUUACAUAACACACAAAUUAAACCCUCUUGUAUCAAUUGUAGUAAAGAAUGUAAGUAGGGAUCGUUCUGGACCGGGGAUUAGGAGGGCUUGCUAAUAACCUCUAAACUGACUUAAAAACAUAUAAACAAAGUUAAAAACACUAAACUAGACUCCAAGAAUUCAAAACAAACUCAAAGAACUCAAAACAAGCUAAAAAACGCUCAAAUCUGCCUAAAAACACAAACUGGGCAAAUUUGGACUCUAAACACACUUUCGGACAAAUUUUGGUUUUAACUUGCUUCGAAAUACUUAGAAACACAAACUAAAUCAGUUUCUAACUAAUAUGACUCAACAAGGUAAAGGGGGUUUUGGUUUUGACGAAUUUGAAAACAAAACAAGUAAAUUAAAGAACCAACGAAAUCUACAUGAAUUUGAGUAAACUGAAUGGAUGGAAGAAUAGCUAGGAGAUUCUUCUCCACACAUGACACACUUGCAAACAAAAUGAUUUCCAGUUGCUUUUCAAUAAACUACGAAUUCUCAACGCCCCAGAUUAACUGUGAAUUGCACUAAUUAACCCUCAGAUUUUCCUAAUUUCAUUGAAUUGGAUGAUUGCAUACAACAACCCAAAGCAUUCCCCACAAGUUCCCUACAUGAAUUGCAUAAUAGAGAUACAAGCAAGAAUCAUUAAGUUCUAUGAAAAUCAUAAGCAUUGACGAAACACUUGUAACUAUGAAUUGCAUGAAACUUAUGACAAGAAUUUACUUAACACGGUUGUGACGAGCAACCUUCACUACUUGUGAAUAUAAGUUCAUAACGAUUAGGUGAAAUUCCCUUAUGUCCUAGCAUUAUAUUUAUGCAUGAAAAUUAAGCGUGCACUCUCAACCAACACACAUAAAUCAGUUUUAAUUCAAAUGGAUAAGUAGAUUGAAUUCACAACUUAUGAAUCACAACUGAAAGUAAUCAAAUCAUAUUGCAAGCAUGAACAUGGUUUCGAAUUCCCCCUAGCUAAGGGAGGUUUAGUUCCUCAUACUCACAAAGCAAAGAUAAACAAUUUUAGACAUUGAAAACAAAAGAAUGAAAACACCUAAAAACGCUCCAACAAUCCAACUUGAAUGGCAAGCACGUCCAAGGGUCUUCAUUCUUCUCUUUGUUGCGGCACAAGGUGUGGUUUGAUGGAUGCGUAUGGAUAUAUGGAAGGGAAUGGUUGAAUGUGUUUAGGUUGGAUGGAGGUCACGGCAAGGAAAGGGAAAUAAAGGUGCAUGGAAUUGUGUUUUUGUUGUGGGAAUGUGUAGAAUGGUUAAGAAGAAAAGACUCUACCUUGUGGCAGAAUGUGUCUUCCUCCUUUCUCCCUAAACUGUCCGUGUGAAUGUGUCUUUCCAUGGAUCUCCCCCCCUUUUUGUUAUGGUGAAGGGUGGAUGUAUUUAUAGGCUAGGGAGAGGACCACCAUCUAAUUAAGGUGGUAGUGGUGUAUGUUGUGGUAAUAAGUGGAUGUAAUGGGUGUGGUGGAUGGAUGUUUGGUAAUGAGUAAUGGGUGUAGUGGGUGGAUGUUUGGUAAUGAGUGGAUGUAAUGGGUGUAGUGGAUGUAUGUUUGUAGUUGUAGGUCAACACACUUGCACACACACAUGCUGAUUUCUAGCCUUCUAAUCUUAAAAAACGUCCAUCCUUAUGUCUCCAUGCUUGCACUAUCCAAUCUUGGCCAAAAAAUGCUCCAAAAUGCUCCAAAUAGCACUUUGUUGCCAACUUUGUUAUUUGAACCUACAAACACACGAAAAUAGCUUAAAGUACUAAAAUAACUAGAAUUAAACUAAGUAAAUGCCAUGAAACAAGCUAACUAAGUUUCAUAAAUAUGCUCCUAUCAGGGACUUUAGUGGUAGCCUACAACAAGCCAUAAUCUUCCAAGGCUAAGCUAAAAGGCAAAGGCAAAGGAAAUGAGAAGAAGUCAUCCACUCCUAAGGCCUAAGGAGGAGUGAAGAAGAAGAAGGAAAAGGAGCCUAAGAGGAUUUGCCACCACAGUGGAAAGGACGGGUAUUGGAAGAGGAAUAACAGGCUAUACUUUGCAUCUCUAAAGGAUAAGCCACAAGGUAUGGUUUUUGUCCUUAUCUUCAAUUCUAAUUGUUAGAUCUUCUAAUCUUUAUAUUUGAUAUAAAAUGCUAAUCACUUAUGCAAUUGUAUGUAGGUGAAGGAGCCAAGUAGAAGAUGAACGAGCAAAGAAAGGAUGGAGUGAAGAGUUCAGCCCAUAGUUUUUUUGCUAACUACUUAGGAAGUUUGUUAGACACUUAAAAACAGCCUUUGAACUUUCUUAGUUUGCUAAGAACUUAUUAUUUGGCUUCAUAUGAUGGAAGACCCACUUUUGGUGCCUAUAUGAAGGUAUAUAAUCAGUCUCUAAUGUAAGAGCUAAUUCUUUUGUAUUGAACAUUAUGAAUGUUUAACUUAUCAUAUCAAUGUAAUGUGAUGAAUCCCUUGUACUAUAUUUGUUCCUCAAAGUAGUGUUAUGAAUUGAAUAUUGUCCUAUUGUAUUCUAGUUGAUAUACAAGAAAUGUAUCACUUAUAUAAUGUGAUAUCCAAACUUUGGAUCCAUCAAUUAAGGAUAGAUAUCACAUGUUGGCCAUAGAUGGAUACAAUGAAUCUUUAGAUUUGGUUCCAAUUGCCUACAUAUGAGUUCUAUAUGAAUUGAGAAAGUCUAGAGAUUCCUUUCUUGACGAAAAGGACGAUCGCAUUAUAAUGAAGUGAAUGAUACAUAAGAAAAACAUUUCUUAUAUGGUUAUCGCUUAAUUAACCACAAUAACCAAGAUCACUCUUGGUUCAGCUAGCAUUUUUGAACAACUUGGACACUCUUAAAUUGUUUUAAGAAAUGUCAAAUGUGUUUGUAAUUACAACAAGAAUGAAGUGUCUAAAUCUAUAAAAGGGGUAUAAAUACCUUAGUCACUUAAUAACAAAACAUGAACUUAGUGGAGUUGGAACAAUAAGCUUAAAAGGUUUGAAGCUACUCCACAAUGUCCGCUACCCGUAUACUUCAGAAUUGUACACUUUGAAUGUAUAAUGCGAUUUCUCAUUAAAGUCAUGAGAACCGUGGGAGGUGAGCAAAGGAUACAAACUUGAAUAUGAUUGGUUUAUAGUUGUCUAAAAAUUAGUAGUACAAUAUUAUUCUUAUUGAGCUUGUAAUUUUAAUUGUUAAAGGUCUCAAGCUCUUCAAAGCGUUAAAAAAUUCUACGUUGUGUAACAUUCUAAGGAUAACCUAUGAAUGUUGGUUUCACCAACCUAGCAUAAAAUGGUUAUAUGUUGGGAGUUGUCCAUCAUUCUCUUUUAUGAGAACAAGCUAAGAAUAAAGCAAAUGGACAAGUUGAUGAAACAAAAGGGAAUAGUUUCAAAAUGAGUCACAACAUAUUGUUUAACAACAAGACAAUCCAAUUUUGGCACCUCAUGUAACUAUAAUGCUCUAUGUGGUUUUGAUAAAGAAUUAAAUCAACCACCUAGGAGGUAUGGUUGAAUUUCUAUAUCCUUAGUUGGAUCCAUGCUUCCACUAAAUAUUUGGAUAAUUCUUAUACGACUACUUUAAAAGUCUUAAUAUGACUAAAACUUGAAGUAUGGUGUUUGACACCAUAUGUUUUAAAUGAAAGGACUUGACAAAACAAGUCACACAUUUGGUAUUAGAUCUAAAUCCAAUUUUAAUCCAAUAUUGAUGGAUUACUUAAGAAGGAAUUAUUUGUGUAUGUUCAUUUAAACAACUUGUAUUAGCUAGAAUUGUUGACUGCCUCAAAUCAAUUGAGUCAUCAACAACAAGCUAAUGGAUCUCAAAGAUUGGCAAUAGAUCCAAGACAGGUUAGUGGGAGCUAUAUGCAUUCAAAUCAAGAAAAUAUAAAUGUUAAGUUUUUUCUUAAGGUUUCAAACGAAUGCUUAGUUACAACAAGGUUAGUAGGAGUGGUGUCAUACUUUUGAGCAACAUGUUAUGAAUGAAGUGUAUUUUAUAGACUUAAUGAAAAACAGAUGUUACUCAAAAUGACAAAUUGUGACACGGUCAAUUUUGAAGUACAGAAUUAAAAAUGGACUAACAUAAAUGAAGUCAAUUGAGAAUGGACUUAAUGAUACAACAAGGAUGUCUCAAGAAUGUUAUAUAGGGAAAUUGAAUCUCAAACGUUGAAGAUUUGAGAAAGUAUUUCUACAUAUGAUAGAAAAACUACUUUCAUGACCUUUAUAACAAAUAUGUCACAAAUCACAAAGUGUACACAUGUAUGGACUUGUGAGAUGAUAUCCAAAGGUGAAUAACCAUCGAGGUUGUCACUUUUAGAUAUUGCUAAAAACCCAGGAUCAGAACCGUAGCAACUGAUAGAGUAUUGCCUUUGAGAAAGGAAUGUCAGAGUGACUCUGGAAACGUGCAUUCAUUUAGGUAAAUAAACCACAGUGACAAUAACCUAUUUUAACAAAUGGAACUUCAUGGUGGAUGAAGUACUAAUCAUAUGAAUGUAUUGUUAGUAUGGUACUACAAUGGACUCAAGGUUGGAGCAAAGUUUGUAUAAAGUAUACAAACAAAAUAUAUGUCAAUAUAUAUUAAAGUUUUAGAGACUACUUCAAAAGGUGUUUCGAAUAGACAGGCCAUGGAAUCAAGGUCUCAUCAAAGUACUUGAACACAAGGAAGAGACAACAUUAAAUGUUUUCGAAACAUUUAAAAAGUAAAUCCUUUUCUAAGUUAAAAAGAUUAAUACAUAACAUAGUUAACCUACGAGCUCACAUUCACUCGACUAGCAUCUAUAAGAUGCACUAAUGAUUGACUUUAGUGCAAGUGGGAGAUUGUUGGAGAUAUGCACUGAAAUUCAAUCUUUGGAAGAAACCUUUCAGGAUAAUGUCUAUAUGUAUAGAUAACUCUAAUACAACAAAAGGCAAAGUCAUUCAUUAGGACUAUCUCAAUAAACGAUGCACGUCCAAAGUAGUGAAUCUGUGGACAAUGGAUCAAUGGAAGAAGUCAUCUAAUGAUGUUAUACUGUAGAGACCUUCUUCACAUAACCAUAAUGUCCAAAAGGUUCCUGGUCAUAGGAUUGUCAGAAGGGCACUGACAAUACAUAGACAAGUCCAUACUAUGUCCCCUUCAAAUGGGAAGGAUGGAAAGUCUCAAGCUAUUCGUGUAGUGACACUAAGACAAGUAUGUAGGUGCUCAUUAAGGGAAUGAGUUCACUGAACACAAUCAAACAAGAGUACUUGCAUGGAGGUCUACUCACAUGUCAAGCAAGUAACUUUACUGGUUGGAAUAAUGUAAGUAAUCUUCUGCCUGAGACAUUAUAGUUAUCUUGGGAAUACGUUGCUAAUCAUUUGAUAAUGAGACGUGACAACAUCUCAUCUUGGAUGUGUUCUAUGCAUUAUUCAAUGAGUUAUUCUCAGAGGCAUGUGAAUGAUCAACAAGAGAUCUCUAAUCCUAAUUAUGAGAGGAAAAUUUUUCUAAGAUAUGAUUAGGGAAUCUUGGGUUGAAGUAUCGAGUGUAAUGAUGGAAGGUGUUCCUAUAUGACUCAAUUGAAUCAUAUAACUUAGUAUAAUCAUAUUAGGGGUUUGACAUAAAGUAUACAUACCCUAGUAAUGUGAUUGUGAGUAUUUUAUUAGAGAAUGAUCAAAUUAUAUUGUAAUUCCAACUGAAUAGGUUCUCCGACCAAAUUCUACAUUAGCUUGGGUAGUCAUGAUAUAUGGUUAGAUGUCACUCAUGGCUUGUGGGUUCUUCUAGAUGAUUAAAUAAGUAGUCAUCAAAGAAGAAAAGGAGAAUUAAAAGUAAGUUUUAAUUUACUAAGUGAUUGCAUAAACACUAAUCAAUUGGAUUGACACCAAUCACAUCACUACCUUGCUAAUUGGAACCUAAAAUGAUUAUACAUCGAUACACUCGUGUGUUGAGAAAAUUAACAGAUGAUGGAAUUAAUUAAUUGGAUUAAUUAAGUGUUAUGAUUGAUUAGAAUGUCUAAAUAAAUAUAGAGAUGAUAAAAGAUUAAAAGAUCGUUUUGGGCUUAAAGAAAAGUAUGGGUACUUUUGGGUCCAUUGGGCCCAAACCCAUUGGGCUUUUAAUUCAAGCAUAAAAAUGACUUAAAUUAAUAAAAGCCAAAGCCCAAACUAAUACACAAUGGCUGGCCAUUAGGGUGAGUAAAGGUGAGAGGGUAAAAGUUAAUUGUUAACUUACUUAUCUCACCUUUAUAUAGAAAGAUAUAGGAAAAGGUUCCUUAGGGUUUUUGUGUGAGCUUUUGCCUCAAGGGAAAACAAAAUAUCUCUCUCUCUCUCUCUCACACACACACACAAGGCCAGCCACCAAGAGGAGAAAAUAGCUAAUCAUCUCUUCUCCUUUUGGUUAUUCCAACAUCCAUGUCAAUACACUAGUGCGUGUCGAUCUUUAGAGGUUUUCUACCUUGGAGACUAGAGGAGAAUCAAAGGAAUUCCAAACCUAUCAAGGUGGAGGAAGCAAGGAGGGAGGCUAGGCUUAAGAACUUCUAAAAAGAGAGGUCUUGGAGGUGGUCACUUAUUGGACUCAAGUCAAGGUCCAAAGGUAAAAAAAAAAACAUUUCUCCUUAUACUUGUUUUUCAAUAAGUUUCUUAGAUGCAACAAAUAUGAACCUAUGCUUCUUGAAAGGGAUUUGCAUGACUAUAGCUUUGAUAAUACGCUUCUGUUGCUUAUGUAUGUUAAUUUUGAAUUGAAUAUGCAUGCUAGUCACUUGAAAUCCCACUUAAAUCUCAAUAUUUCCCUUCAAGAACAAGAUAAUCCUAUAGAUAUCUGCGUGGUCGAGACAAUACCAGACUGCUGGAGAAGAUUAAUUAUGCAGUAUCUUGAUAAUCCCAGUGGCAAACAUGACCGCAAGACAAGGGUACAUGCCACAAUUUACAUAAUGUAACAGAAUGAACUAUACCGAAAUGGUGAAGACGGUCUGUUGUUAUUGUGCCUCAACCCAAAAGAGGUGGCCCAAGCUAUUAUAAAAAUACACGAAGGAAUAUGCAAGGCUCAUCAAUCCAUACACAAAAACAUGUUGGUUGCUCCGCUGACACGGUUUUUUUUGGUCGAGCAUGUUAAAAGAUUACAUUGAAUAUGCGCGAGGUUGUGUACAAUGUCAAAUCCAUGGGCCCAUACAGAGGGUCCCGACCGAAUUACUUCACUCGGUCACCAAGCCAUAAUUGUUCAACGGAUGGGCCAUAGAUGUAAUCGACAAAACUAUGCUAUCUUCCGGAUCAGCAAAAGAUACAUGAAUACUUGUAGCAACUGACAACUUCACCAAGUGGGUUGAAGAAAAAUCAUACGCUGAGUUAACAUCUAAAGAAGUUUGUAAUUUUGUAGAAGAAAACAUCAUGACAAGAUUCAGCGUACCAGAAACAGUUAUAACGGACAACAGUACGAUUUUUACGACCGACAAGUUUAAAGAAUACACAGCAAGUUUGAAAAUUCAGCUUGAACAGUCCACGCCAUAUUACCCACAGCCAAACAGACAGGCUGAAGCAAGUAAUAAAGUUUUAAUCGGUAUCUUUAAGAAAAAUGAUAAAAGAAAAGUUUGGUAUAUGGCAUUUAAAGUUAAAUGAGGCAUUAUGGGCAUAUUGAACUUCACUCUUAUUAGCAACAGGGACAACCCCAUAUGUGUUAACUUAUGGACACGACGCGAUGCUACCGAUCGAGCUAAGCAUAAACUCGUUAAGAGUUAUCAAACAAAGCAGUUUGUUCAGUGCCGAGUAUAGUCAGGCCAUGAGGUAAAAGUUGGAGGAUUUGGAGAAAGCUCGGCUUAAUGCCUAUAACUUACUAGUGGCGCAGAAAAAGAUUGCCGAACGAGCUUAUAAUCGACAAGUUAGGCAAAAGAUUGCAAAAGGUGCAUUAGUGUGGCAAACCGUGUUACCAGUAGGGAUUAAGGAUCCCAGAUUCGAGAAAUGGUCACCAAAUUGGGAAGGACCAUAUACAUCUACAAAGUUCUCAGCAAUGGGGUAUUCCAUCUCAAGGAUCAAACUGGUUUAAUUCAUAAAUUACUGAUAAAUGGGAAAUUCUUAAAGAAAUAUUAUCCGACCACUUGAGAGAUACAAGAAUAAAGGAUUUGUUUCAUUAAUUUUCAAAGGGCAUACAUACAAAAUUACAAAAAGAAAUCAACCGGCCAACAAGUCUGAACCAAAAAAAAUCCUAGGGAGUCGAAUGAAGAAAAGCUUCAAGAGCGACUUUCAAUUCUAGCCAUUUCACUUCGCCCAUCAUAACCUCGCCCAGUCGUGCUCUUUUGUUAGCUUUUAGUUACUGUAUCCGCUUCGCAACAACCGCGUACUCUGCCAAUUGAAGUUUGUUCGACUCAAAAUCCUUUUCAAGCUCAGAAGCAACGGCUGACCUCUGACGAUGAAGUUCGACAAUUUAACGAUCAAGGUCAGCCAGUCUCUCAUUCUUGGCCUUUAUUUCCUCGAGCCCUGGUCGGAUAGCUUCAUGAGCAACCAUUGCAGCCUUAAGGUCAUCCUCUGUCCGAAGAGCCUUCUCGAAAAUAAUGAAAUAUUGUUGAGUUCUUUCUAAGACAGUUGACAGAUGAACAAAACUUUCGUUGCUUAGCAGGUCGUCGGUUGCAAGGUUGUUCAAGCACGCUUCCACAGAGUCGAGGCCUUUGUGUUGGAGGAUUUAUGAGGUCAAUAGAGACAGAAGUUCCUGCAACUUGGCAAAGGCGCUAGACUCGGCCGGGGUUGCAGAAGGCCCAGUCGUCCCCGAAGUGUUGGAGAGAAAGGCAUCAAGCUCAAUUUACCAGGAAAGCUUUAUAGAAAAGAGUUGUUAGAGAAAAAAGAAUUCAAAAAGAUGACUGGUUCGUUGGUCGAACCUAAAUAGCUUAAUGCUUGAGCCUAGUGUUUAAAACAGCUUUUCAAUUCAUGCAGCUGAUGAAGGUUAACUACGUUUGAUGGCCACUGGGGUGGUCAGGAAAUAUAAAUAACACCAUUCUGCACAUAGAAUUUUCUGUGAAAUAAGCGAUUGGGAACCUGGCAUUUAAUGCUUUUCUUGGUUUAGAGUUCUAAGGCAUGAAAUUAAUAAAAGAAAAUGAUGAUGAGUCUUAUAAAGGUCGAAAAUACCUCCUGAUGAGAGAUGCUGAGGUUCUUAUCCUGGGGAUAAACCAACGUCUUUGUCGUUGCUUCUGGCUCAACAAAAGACGCCGCUUUAUGUCCUGGACCUACUUCGGCCGCAUGGAGGUCGACUUGGCCAACUGCCUCAACCGCUAGUUGGAAAUCACCAAGAAGGGAUGCAACACGUACUUUGAGGGGAGGCCACAUCAACUUAUUUUACUCCCCAAGCGAACUCAGCUGACGAGAUGGCACGCCCCGCACACAAUGGAAUGACGUAGUUAGCUUAUUAAUUACUCGGCAUGUGCGCCACGUAGGCUUGAUAGUUUUUAGGGUCAACAAGUAAUAAGGAAGAAAGAAUCCUUACUCUCAAAGUAAUACAAUUACAACUAGGAAACUAUCUAAGAUAUCUUGUAGAAUCUUACACAUAAUCUACUAUGAUUUACAUAAUCACACUCCCAAUGAAUUUAGAGCUAUAGCCAUGGUUUUAAAAGACGCUACGCGCUAGUCAGGUGACAGGCUUGGGCAUAGGCGAAUUUAAGUAAAUUUGUUAUAUAUUAUAUAAUUUAAUUUAAUUUACUACGUAAUACAUAAAUAAACAUUGAAUAAUACGUUUUUCUAUAUAUUUUACAAAGACGAAUACAUAUAUAGUAUAAGAGCUUCAAAUACAUAACAUGGAGUGGGCUUAAAAGAAAUUAAUAAAAUAUUGCCCAAAAAAAAAAGUCAGAAAAUGAUUUUUUAUUGGCUAAAUGGAUGUGAGGUUAAUAAAAAAGAAAGUAAUAAAUUGAGAAGAUGGUGGGACUAUCUUAAAGAGAUAAAAAAAAAGGAAAAAAAAGGUGGGUCAGUGAAUAGAACUUCUUUUUCCUCGUGAUAGUCGAAUGCUACAACAUUUUUACCAGAUUUGGCGUUCUCCGCCUAGCCACCGCCAACCCUAUCUAGCCUCGCCCAGCCCCGCCUAAUCCUUCGUAGGUGUCCACCUAAUAUUGUUUCCCUAGGCAUCCACCUAAUAUGGUUUCCGAUUUAGUGACCGAUUCGAUGUAAAUAGCAGCAGUAGUCGACCGUUUAGCACUUAGGCGUCACCUAGGCCGAUUUUUAGAACAGUGACUGCAGCAGCCCCCUUGAGUGUGUAAAUACUUAAACAGAUGGUGCAUUGGAUCUUUAUGUGAUUAUGUAGAAGUAGUUGAUGAAGUCAUUGGCACAAUGAACGAAUGCAAAAAAAUGCAUAAGUAGUAAAACUUCCAAAACCUCAUUAUGGUAUAGCACAAUGUAGGAUAAAAACUCAUAUUCUUAGGAGAAAAGCAAAGUUGUAUUAAGUCAAAACUAAACUCCUUCAAACGUAAGUAGAAUGCACACAAAGGUAUGAUCAGACCAGGAUGGGUGACUCAUUAAAACCUCGUUAGGUAGCAAAAACCUAAUGGAAAAAAUGCUCACAAUAUACGGGAAAAAUAGUAUAUUAAGGUUAAGUGAGUAUACUUCUAGAUACUCCAUCUAAGUUUAACUAAACUUCCAAAUAAGACUACAAAAAUCACAAAUCAGAUAAUUUACGCAUAACAAUUCCUUGAACAAGCUUCUACAAGUAGACUUCAACAUUGGCUAGUCACAUGGUGGGCCUUCACAACUCGUAUGGUUGUAAUGUAUAAUCCAUUCAAAAGGCACUCCAUCUUCUCAUGAAUAUACUUCUGACCAUAUUCAUAGGAAGUGCAACAAAGAUAUUUAAUACCAUUCUUUUCAAUGGUUUCAGCAUGAUAGUUAUUCUCUCGAAUAUCCUUAAAGUUGAACAACGUUCUUCUAAAACGGAGUGAGUAAAAGGUCUAUUUAAUGGUUGGCUUAGUACCAUUGAAAAACAUUAUACGAGCAGUGCCAUACCUUCAAUUAGGUUAAAUGGGCUUGAAGGGGUUGUAAAAGGUGAACUUUUAGGUAUGAAGUUAGUAAAAUAAUGGCGGAUAUGUAAGAUGGUGGCAUUGUUGCACUAUCUGCCAUGCAACUAACUUCCCCACAAGACAUCCCUGGAAAGUAAAUUAAUUGAAUUGGUCACAUGUGUAAGGAAAAUUUUGAAGUCCAUUCAUUCGAUUAGUUAUUCAAGAAAUAAUAUCCAUAAGGUAAUUAUCCAAAAACAUAAAACAAAUACCAAACAAAUAAGCGAAAACAAAGGAAAUUGUUCAAAACUUAAACCCUAUGAAAUAGGGUUCGGCCACUAGGGGAAACUCGUCCAACAUGUCUAAAAGGUUCUAAUCUUCCAUUGGUACAUAUGCCUCUUGGAAAUCCAAAAUCUCCAUGGUGGUAUCUUAAGGAUUAUCCACUUGAGCAAAGUUUGUCUUAAUCUUUUGACAAUUGAAUGAUACUCAACAAUGGCUUGAGGAAAAGCUCAGCACAUGUGGGACCAAUGUUCUUUGGAACUAUAAUGGUAACACAUAUUAAGAUCAGUAGAAGCUUGAUUAGUUUGAGCUUUGUCUUUUUUCUUAGAGUUGGAAGCAUUGGGACCUAGGGAAUCGUGCUUUGGGGUCAAAUUUCCUCCCUUGGGUGGUCUUUGCUCUAUAGACCUUAGGCCUAUAUCUAAGGUUCGACCUUUUGCCACAACCCUGACGCUUCUUGCGUCCCUUGUGGCCUUGAGAUGUGGUGACAUGCGCUUCAUACACAACGCUCGAGCCAGUAGGUCUAGCUUGAUGAAUCUUCAUUAAAAAUUGGUUUUACUUUUUAAUAAGUAGUAAGACAAAGAUCAAAUCCUAAAAUUUAGUGAAUUUUUGUGCCGAAUACUAUUAUUGCAUGACAAUAUUGGUGGCAUAUAAAGUUGAAUAGGUAUUUUCUAGGAGAUUCUCUUCAAUCAAGUCCUCUUUACAGAAAUUAAAGAGUGAUCAGAUUCGACAAACUUCAUAAUCAUAUUCAUUCAUAGAGACUUGAAGUCUUGGAAGCAUAAAUGAUGUCAGUCAUAUAUAUCUUUCUGGUGAUCGAAGUGCUCUGCCAGAGCAAGCAAGAGAGUGAGUAGAUCCUUUUCAUUGAGAUAUUCAACCUACAAUGUGUCGUGCAUAUGCCUUCUAAUGAAGAUCAUAGUAAUUGCCUUGUCAGCUUCGCAAACUGAUUCGUUCAUAGCCUCUUCAAUGGUAGUCUGAGGGUUUUGGCGGUAAAGUGGAUCUUCACAUCUUGAACCUAUUUCAGGUAGUUUCUUCUUAUGACUUCGAGAGCGGUAAAGUCUAGUUUGAUACAGUUUGACAUGUCACUGCAAUUAAUGGGGCAAGAUCAUGGUCAAUAUGAUAAGAAAAACAUCCAUAGUCAAAAGUACAACAUUCGUGUUCUAUAGACAUGUUUUGGUAUAAAUUAAGCAUGAAAAACUUCAGGUUUCAUGGGUGUAUUAUUUUAUGAAAACUUUGAAUUUCAAAGGCACUAUAUUCGAAAUGACAAGUUUGAUUUAGACGAAUUGCCAAUUAAAAAAGGAUACUUGCAAGAACAUAAGAGUACAAUAGACAACUAGUGUAGUGAAUUUGGGUUGCUUUGGGGACCUAGUGUGUGUAGUUUCGGGACUAUGAAAGGAUGUCAACAAUUCAAAGGAAAAAAAAAAUAUUGCAUCAUAAUUUAUAAAAGUGUUGUGCAGGCCAAAAAUAUAUUUUUUUAUAGUAUUUAUGGACUGCAAAUCAUUAAAUUAAUUCAAUAGGUCAGGGCCAAAAAGGGUUCAGCAGUAAAAGCAAGAAAAUGCAAUGGUUCAUGCCAUAUAUGGGUUGGAUGCUUACAAGCCACGUAAAAUAGAAGCCUAAAAAAAUAGAUUAGGAAGUGAAAAAUGUACCCCAACACCCAGUUAAAGUAAAUGUAAGUCCAAAAUUGGGUUUGGACAGAGGCAGGCAGCAGCCAAGCAAGUGGCUGGGUGUGAACUGAUGAACCCAACAUGAGCUGGUGUGGGCUAGGAAAGAAAAUAGCUCAUUAAUGGGCUAUGUUUGUCCAAAAUAGUAAGCCAAUCACUUGAGCUUGGACCAACAUCAACAUUAGGCCCAAAAUAGUUUAGGCUGUUGAACAUGAAGCUAAAAUGACAUCAUUUUGAGCAUGAGCUGUAGGGGCGGCGCGACUGGCACAACUCGACUUAGCAGCACGACCCUGUAGGAUGUUUUUUAAUUUUUUUUCUCAAUGCAACAUUGCGCGGUUUUAGGUUGCGGCUCAGCUCAUGAUUAGAGUUUUUUUUUUUCUAAAUAAAAAUUUAGUUUUGCUUCUAUUUUCUUGUUUUUUUCUUUUUUCUCACACAAUUCACCAUAGCAAUACCUAAUAACAUAAUAAAAGUAUUGCAUGCAUAAACAAUAUAUACAAUUGAGCAAUUUAUGCAAUUUAAGCAAUAUGUAAAGCAACAAUAAAUUUGGGGGUCAUGUAUCGUGGUGAAUGUUUUCAUGCUAUAAGGGCUUAUAAAAUAUUGAUUUCGUAUUUUAUUAGAACUUGGAUUGGAUAGAAAUGAAGAAAAGCUUUAAAUGCUAGGAAACUAAUCCAAGUAAUACAAUUACAACUAGGAAACUAUCUAAAAGAUAUUGUAGAAUCCUACACAAGAUCUACAAGGAUUUACACAAUCACACUCCUGAUCAAUUUAGGCUGCAACAAUGUUUACCUUUCAUUUACAUUUUUGGAAGAUGUAAAUGGAAGUUUUACCCUAAUUGGAGAAAUGUAAAUUUGAGAUCCCAUUAAAUUUUGUCACUUUGAUUGGCAGGACCCACCACUAAAGGAUGUAAACAAAGAUGUAAAUCAACAUAGAUUUUUAUUUAUAUUUUUCGACCAAAAUAGGUAUUUUACAUCACUCCAUGGAGAGUUUUUAGACCAACCAGAAAUUUAAAAUACACGUUUCAAAGUAUUUUGCACCUCUUUAUUAGAGAUGCUCUCACUUUCUCUUUUGUACAUCACUUUUAAGCUAUUUUAUUCAAAGGGAGAGGGCUACGGACUGAAUGCUUGAAAGUUUAGGGUUAUACUCCUUAUCUAUUUUGUAUACUUAAUUAACCUGGAAAACGGGUUGUGUUUGUCAUGUUUGUGUCAUUUUUGUGUCAUACUUUUUAUCUUAACACACUAUGACGUGUCAAACCCAUUAUCUUAACAGGUGCCUCGUUAACCAGUCGAGUCGUUUUAUGUUGGGUUAAUGGGUCAUGUAAGAACUUGCCAUGCUUAAUAUAAUAGACCUAGCAAACGGGUCAUGUUUGUGUCAUUUACAUGUCAUACUCAUUUUCUUAACGGGUUUUUAAUUUGUGACUCGAUAACAAUCCAAAUCGUUAACAGGCUUUUAACGAGUGACCUGAUAACGACUCAACUCGUUAAUGGGUUGACCUGAAACCUGCUAUUUUUGUGUCAUCUCAUGUCGGACUAACAUGUCAUGUAAGAAAUUUGUAGACAUCAAAAUUUCGGUAAUAAAUGUUGACCGAUAAAUCAAAGUUUCAACGCUCAUGUAUUACAUAAAUUUUACACGUAGCGUGUGUCUAAACAAAAAAAUCGAAAUAAGUCGAAAAAGUCAUCAAACAGGACACGUGUCAACGCCCGGCAGAGAUGAUUUAUUUCAUCUGAUUAUUUAAUCCCAAAAAUCAAGUUUUGGAAUUCUAUAAAUAGAAGCCAAUUUCAUUCAUUUAAAAAAAAAACCAAUUCAUAAUCAAUUCACCUCACACCAAAACCUUGAAGUUUUGAAACUCCAAAGCUCCCAAGCAAAUCCUAAAGGAUCAAGAAAGCUCUCUUCGUUCUUCGUCAACCCAACCUUCAAGAUCAAGCCCUGACGGUCCUUGAAGAAAGUGUUCAUUGUUCAUCAUCUGUUCAUCCUAAGAUCAAUCCCCCAACGGCCCUUUGGAUCAACAACAUCAACAAAUCCACAUAUUCAACCGUUCUUCAAGAUAAAGCCCAAAAGCCCUUGAAGAUCCAUUCAUCAACUGUUCAUCAAGAUCAAGCCCCAAAGGCCCUUGAAGAUCCGUUCAUCAACAAUUCUUCAAGAUCAAGCCCAAAAGCCUUGAAGAUCCGUUCAUCCAUCAACCUUCAAGAUCAAGCCCAAAAACCCUUGAAGAAACUUCCCUCAACCUUCAAGAUUAAGCCCCAACGGCCCUUGAAGAAAACUUUCGACCGUUCAUCCAAGAUCAAGCCUCGACGGCCCUUGGAUCAAUCGCACAUCCACAAAUCAACACCUUACGGAGAUCGAAUCAGAGGAUCAAAUUUGAGAGAGAUUGUAACCCCUAAAUCAUUAAUACAAAUAUUAUUUUGUACACGUGUUCUUGUCUAGUUCGUUUCAGGAAUUUCCGUGUUUACAAAUUUGGCACGCCCGAUGGGAUUAUCUCUACCUCUCAUCUCUUCCUCCGUUCAAGAAAUUCAAGCACACUUCCAAAAUCAAUGGCAUCAAGGAAGGCUCAAGCUGUUCCCACAACCGACGCGAAGAACAAGAGCAUCAUCGCCGCAGGCGGUGCCAUUUCGGGCAUCAUAACUCAAAGCAAGGCAAGAGCUCUUUCUGCCUCCUUUUCCACCCCUGCAUCAACCCCGCUGAAGGAACAAGAGCACCUGAGGCACGAACCUGUGAUCACCCUGGCCUCGCUAAAGGCGCCAAGGAAGGAAAGCCUGAGGAAGUACUCCGAGUCUUUGUUUUCUGAUGCUGACUCAAGCGACAGCACAGCCAUGCAAGUUAUGGCUACCGAGCAACUUCAAUUGAGGAGCGACUAGCUCAAAUGAAUGAAGUGAUCGCAAGGCUAACACAGACUGUGGAAGAAAAAGACUCACAAAUCGCUGCAUUCGUUAACCAAUUGGAGGCACAGCACGACGAGAAACCUGAUCCACUAAAACGAUGAGCUGGCAAAGAAGAGAAGCCGGAGCCAGACCAGGCAAUGACAUUCAUGGGAUCUCUCUCUAUCUAGCAGCUACAGGAGAUGAUCGCCAGCACCAUCAAGGUACAGUACGAAGGAAGCUCGCAUGACUCUGUACUAUACUCAAAACCCUACUCCAAGAAGAUUGACGCUUUGAAAAUGCCGAGGGGUUAUCAACCGCCAAAUUUCAUGCAGUUCGAUGGAAAAGGAAACCCAAAGCAAUAUGUCGCCCAUUUCAUUAAGACCUGCAAUAACGCUAGGACAGAAGGAGACUACCUCGCCAAGCAGUUUGCGCGCUCAUUGAAAGGAAAUGCCUUUGAGUGGUACACGGACCUAGAGCCUGAGUCCAUCAACAGCUAGGAGCAAUUGGAAAGGGAAUUUAUCAACCGCUUCUACAGCACCUGCCGUACGGUGAGUAUGCUAGAGUUAACAAGCACCAAGCAAUGGAGGGAUGAGCCAGUCAUGGACUACAUCAACCGAUGGCGCAAUCUAAGCCUCGACUGCAAGGACAGGCUCUCGGAGAUCUCUUCAAUCGAGAAGUGCGUCCAAGGCAUGCAAUGGGGGUUGCACUAUAUCCUUCAAGGCAUCAAACCACGGACCUUUGAAGAGUUAGCCACCCGUACCCACGACAUGGAGCUGAGCAUUGCUCACCAUGAAAAAAAAGAGCCAAUCACCAACUUCAAGAAGGACAAGGUGUUUGUCCCAAAUGUAGAUAAAACUGGGAAGAAACCUGCCAAGAAAGCGUUCACCGUCAACACUGCGCCCAUCAAGACCUCAUCUGCGCCUAUCAAGAUCUCCUUCAAAACCUAAGCAAAUGAGAUAAAGAGAGGUAAGCCUCCUCGCACCCACGACAGGUACAAAAGCACCUUGAGGGAAUUAGAGCAGAAGGUGUACCCUUUUCCUGACUCAGACAUGGAUGCAAUGUUAGACGACUUACUGGAAAAGAAGGUAAUUGAGCUACCCAAAUACAAGCGGCCUGAAGAGAUAAAUCGCAUAAACGAUCCUAAAUACUGCAAGUACUAUUGAAUCGUGAACCAUCAUGUUGGUAAGUGCUUCAUCCUCAAAUAGCUUAUUAUGAAGCUAGCACAACAAGGGCGAAUCGAGCUCGACCUCGAAGACACGGCCGCAACACAUACUACCACAAUUAUGUUUGGAUCAUUCGAUCCCAUGCCUCUCCAAACGACACCUGACCAUUCCUAUCAUUGCUCAAGUUGCACAAUACCUUCUACCCAAUCAUCGCCAGGGGCAAGUGACCAAGAUGCACAUACUGAUGAUGAAAAAUGAUGGACAUUGGUGACCUACAAAAAGACAAGGAAACCAAAACCACAAGCCACAAGGCCGAAAGGAGAAAGCAUCGUCGCCGCAACAGUAGGAAGCCCAAAAGAAACGUAAAAGUUGUUAAGCCAACAUACGCUGGGGAACCUAUGGAGCAAGAUCCACGCAUUCCUGUCUCCUUGCACGAGUACUUCCCGAAAGACUUUUUCCAACAGUGCACUAUCGUCGCCUGUCAUAUGGUUGAAGUAGAAAUGGAAAAGCCCUCAAAAGGCAAAACUAUCGCCAUUAAGGGAGAAAAAACUUUCACGUUCGGAGAAGGUAUGCCAACACACUGUAGCAUCGAGGAAGCGCUACAAUUUGAAGGAUGAUUUUGUGAAAACAUGUUCAUUUGAAUAACAUCUAUAGCAUGCAUUUAACAAUUAAAAGGCGGAAUCAUGCUUGUAUGCAUUCAAAAACAAAACAUUACCCAUGAAAUUCAAAGCCUAGUAGAUUGGUGAACCAAGACUCAACUCAAAUCAAAGUGAGUUGAGAAAUUAUACCUUUGUAGAUUCCUCUUUGCAUAAGCAAAGGCUAAUCACCCAAAGAGAGGGCCUUCAUUCCUUGCUUCUUAGAUCCAUGGAUUUGGAUGGAAGAAUAUGGUUCUCCAAGUUCCCAAAAUUGAGAACCUCUAAGUGUCUACACCAAGGUUAGAUUGGAGAAGAAAUGAGUGACCUUGGAGGAGUGGGAUUGCUAGCUAAUCCCUCCAAGGGGGCCGGCCUCUUUAGAGAGAAAUGAGAGCUUUGUGUUCUCUCCAAUUUCCUAAAAGAAACCCUUAAUGAAUUUUAGGCUAUAAAGUUCUUUAUAUAGUCACUUCUUUAAAUGACCUAAAGAACCAAAAACCCUAAUUCAACACACAUGGCCGGCCACAUAAGGGAUUUGGGCUUUUGGGCCUUUGUGAAUCUUUAUUCAUUAAAUUGUCAUACAACUUAAGUCAAUGGGCUUGACGUUCGAAGCCCAUUGGGCCUUAAGGUCCAAAACUAUCCCGAGGUCUUUAACGAACUUAUUCGUUUGAUUAAUUAACAUAUUAAUUAAUCCUUGCCAUAAAUAAUUAAACCAUUUAAUUAUUCUUACUCAUCUCCAUUGUUUCUUCAAUCUCCACCUUACACGGUGUACGAUCCAUUAGGUUCCUUUUAGCGAGGCAGUGGGCGAUUAAAACUCUUUCAAAUCGAUUGUGAAUUGAAACUUACUUUCAAUUCUCCCUUUAGUGUUUGUACACGUUUAGGGCUUCCACAAACCAAGAGUGACACCUAGCAGCAUAUCAUGGUUACCCAAGCUAAUCAGAAGAGGUAGAGAACCUAUUCAGUUUAGGAUUACAAAUGCAAUACAGUCUUUCUCUAAUACAAUACUCUUGACCACAUUGUUUGGAUUGAUAGUUUAUUCAUGUCUACUAUCCAAUGUGAUUCGUGUGCUUAUAUGAUUACCUUGAAUGUGAUUUGGAAUGACUUCCUAAAUCUCAUUCAUACUCUGGCCAGAGAUUCUUAAUCAUAUCAUAGAGUAUUCUCCCUCAAACAGUUUGAAGGUUAGAGAUCCCUUGUUGUGCAUUCACUUGCCUCCAUAGCUAAAUGGCUUAACCCCAACUAUGCCGUGGACACCCUCCUUUUGGAGUGACUUUUGACAUAAUCAAAGAUCAAGGACUUAACCACAAGACAACUAUGAUGCCUCAGGUCAAAGGACUACUUUGCAUUAUCCCAACCAUGAGUUCUCAUGUGACAUGAAUAUGAGAACUCUUCGUUGAUCGUGUUUAGUGAACUCAUUCUCUAUUGAGCACCUACGUACUUGUCUUGAUGUCAUACACACCAAUGACUCGAGACUAGUCACUCUCCCUGAGAGAAGACACAACACGUACUGAUCUUAACGGACUGUCAAUGCCCAAUUGGCAAUCCUAUGAUCAGGAACAUUUAGGAUGUGUCUACGAAAGAAUAGUCUCAUGAAUCUAACUUCUUUAGAUCGCAUUCUCCCAAUCACAUAUUCCUUGGACUUAUCGUUUAAGCAUAUAACAUUUAUAUGAGACGGCUCAAACAAUAAUCUUUGCCCUUGAUAUUAAACUAGAUUAGUUUAACAUGUGAAAUGUCCGUAAAGUAUCAUCAUAUGAUUGGUUUUAGGGCACAUUUCCAACACAAUUAUGAAAGAAGAUACGAAGGGCACUGGCAGCGGUUUUGGCAAGUCCAAACGACCACAAAGUGCAAGAAAUCAAGAACGAAGGCUUGAGGCUUCGGCCACAUGAGUGUGCCACAUGCUGUGCCGCUGAGGACACAAUCCACUUCAUCGAUGAAGACUUGCUGCUAGGAUCCAAGCCUCACAACCGUCCUCUCUUCGUCUCUCGGUACGUAAGGGAGCACAAAGUCAACCGCAUGCUUGUGGAUGGUGGAUCAACCAUAAACAUCAUGCCAAAGUCAACAAUGACUAAAAUCGACAUCAAGGCGGAUGAACUGUCCCUAAGUUGUCUACUAAUCCAAGGUUUUAAUCAAGGGGGACAAAAAGCGAUAGGCAUGAUUCAAGUGGAGAUGACUAUUGGUGAACUCAAGUCAAGCACAAUAUUCCACGUGAUUGAUGCAAGAACUUCCUACAGCUUGCUCUUAGGAAGGCCUUGGAUCCAUGCGAAUGGAGUAGUACCGUCCACCCUUCACCAAUGCUUAAAAUUCUACCGAGAAUGAGUGAAGGUGAUCUAUGGCGACACCAAACCAUUCACCGAAGCUGAAUCACAUUUCGCAGACACCAAGUUCUACAUGGAUGAAGACAUGGUGCCUGAAGCUCUUACAAAAGAGAUCAAAUCCAUGGGCAAAGCAACACCAAAAAAGCAAGAGUGGCAAGCCAUGCCCAAGAAGCAAAAAGGAUAAGCUAUGCCAUCUUCAAGCAGGAACGAUGAUGAGCUUGCUAAACCUGCAACAACCAAAGAGAGUAGGACGCCCUCAAAUGGACCAAACACACCCGUCUUCCGAUACAUCCCGAUGUCGAGAAGAAAGAAUGGUCAAUCUUUGUUCGAAAUUGAAGCAACCAAAGCCGAUACACAGGGCAUAAGGAUAAUGUAAAGUUGUUCAAGACGAAUGCAGUUUUGCCUCUGACAUAGCUAGGCAACGCUAAGGCUGCAAAACUACCACAAGGCUUUCUAAAAGCUCUACCAAAGGGGGUGGAACCAAGCUUUCUCCCAACCAAAAGGACCGAAGAAGGUUUUGAUCCAAACGCCUACAAACUCAUGUCGAAAACUGGGUACGACUUCGUUCUUUCUUCGAAUCCUGGAAAGAAGGUUUCAAACACCCUCAACGACAAAGAACGUGACCUCACUGAGACUCAAAAGAAGUUGAAGGAGCAUGAUUACGGAGUUGACAACAACAAAGCUGGACUUGGCUUUACACCAAAUUCACCCAUGAAGAUUUCAAGCAAAGCGAAAAAUGCUAGCACUCAACACAUCAGUGUGAGCAUUAAACAAGAUCAAGAGAAGCCUAAAUCUGCCCCUCGGAUGUCAGUCUUCGAUAGGAUGAAUCGUUCAAAGCCCAGAACGUCAGCACUUAAUCGCAUUGGUGGUCAAAACCGAACCUCUGUCUUCAAGAGGCUUAACAUGCCAACAUCCCAAAGCUUUGUUUUUGAAAGGUUGUUAAAACCUAAGAAGCAAAGCAACACGGCUAGCUCUCAUCCUCGUCGAUUAGUUUUGGAAAGACUUGAAGACAGCAAGAAGCUUUCUAGAAAUAGGGAGACAAUGUCAAAAGAAGAAAAGCUCGACAAGCUAGCAGAAAAAGGCGAUAUUCGAAGCUCAAUUCCUUCAAGGAUGAAGCGCAAAGCAAUAUUGAAGGUUGACACAAAUGGACGACUGAAAGUAAGAAGGCGUACCAUCAUCCACACUGGACAAUUUUCAUGCCAACAAUCCCCAGAGGACGGCACUGAAAAUGAGGUUCAAGACGCCUUCCACAUCACGAUCCAAGAAGGCAAAGAAGACGAAAUCCCUGAAAAAAAUGUCAUUGCUGUGCCAUCACAACUUGAGGAUGGGGGGCAAGCCACGGUUGAUGAUCUCAAAGAGCUCAACUUAGGCAUAAAAGAGGAGCAGAAACCUAUCUUCGUAAGUGCGCUGCUAAGUGCGGACGAGAUAAAGGAGUAUUACCAACUGUUAUCAGAGUACAAAGACAUCUUUGCUUGGACCUACAAGGAAAUGCCCGGCCUUGACCCUGUCAUCACUGUGCAUCAUCUUGCAGUCAAGCUUGGAACGCGACCGAUAAAGCAAACUCAAAGGCGCUAUCGAUCCGAGCUCAUUCCACAAAUCGAGGCAGAGAUUGACAAGUUAAUCGAAGCAGGCUUCAUUCGAGAGGUGCAAUACACCAAGUGGAUCUCUAACAUCGUCAUCGUCCUUAAGAAAUCUGGACAAAUACGUGUUUACGUAGACUUCCGGGACCUCAACAACGCUUGCCCGAAGGAUGACUUCCCUUUGCCAAUCAUCGAAAUCAUGGUGGACACAACCACUGGCCACGAGGCACUGUCAUUCAUGGACGGCUCUUCUGGAUACAAUCAAAUUCGUAUGGCUCUCGAAGACGAGGAACUAACAGCAUUCUGCACUCCAAAAGGUAUCUACUGCGGUCAUGCCCUUUGGUCUAAAGAACGCUGGAGCUACAUAUCAACGUGCAAUACAGAAAAUCUUCAAUGACAUGCUACACAAAAAUGUGGAAUGUUAUGUAGACGAUGUGGUGGUCAAGACAAAGAAAAGAUCAGAUCACUUGAAGGAUUUACGAAUAGUGUUCGAAAGGUUGCGAAAAUACAACCUCAAGAUGAACCCAUUAAAAUGUGCGUUUGGCGUCACCUCCGGAAAGUUCCUAGGCUUCAUUGUCAAGCACCGUGGUAUUGAACCCAUCAGACGCUUCAUCUCCAACCUGGCAGGGCGUUGUCAACCAUUCAGCUGACUCAUGAAGAAGGAUGUUCCGUUUGUAUAGGACGAAGCAUGCCACAAUGCUUUUCAAAGCAUAAAAAAGUAUCUGUCAAGUCCGCCUAUCUUGGGGGCGCCUGUGCCCAGGAAACCACUCAUAUUGUACAUCGCCGCUCAAGAACGUUUAGUUGGAGCACUCUUGGCACAAGAGAAUGAAUCCCAGAAAGAAUGAGCGCUCUAUGCCUCAGCCGAAAUCUCACCGGCGCCGAGUUAAAUUACUCCCCAAUAGAAAAGAUAUGCCUUGCCUUGGUGUUCGCCAUCCAGAAGCUCAAGCAUUACAUGCAUGCUUACACUAUCCACAUGGUUGCUAAAGCUGACCCGGUCAAAUACGUCAUGUCCAAACCAGUCUUGACAGGGCGACUCGCUAAAUGGGCAUUGCUUCUCAAUCAAUAUGAGAUCAUAUACGUCUCAGCUAAAGCCAUCAAGGGGCAAGCGCUAGCAAACUUUCUUGCCGAUCACCCAAUCCCAGCUGAUUGGAAAAUCUUAGACGACUUGCUUGACGAGGACGUGUUCUACAUCGACAUCUUCCCAACAUGGAGGAUGUUCUUCGACGGAUCUGCACGAGCGGACGGAGCGGGGGCAGGAGUGGUAUUCAUGUCGCCACAAAGGCAAAUACUACCUUAUUCCUUCCAACUAAGCGAAUUAUGCUCCAACAACGUCGCUGAGUACCAAGCAAUGAUCAUUAAGCUCCAAAUGGUGAUCAACAUGGAAAUCAUAGCCUUAGAGGUAUAUGGCAACUCCAAGCUCAUAAUCAAUCAACUCUUGACUGAAUAUGAGGUGAGGAAAGAUGAUCUUGUCCCAUACUUCUGACUGGCAACUCAAUUGCUACGAAGGUUUGAGGCUGUAAUGCUAGAACAUGUGCCAAGAAAAGAAAAUCAAAUGGCAGACGCUCUUGCCAACCUAGCCUCAAGCAUGACAUUAGGAGAAGACGAAGUCGCAGACGCGCCAGUCUGCCAAAGAUGGAUGAUCCCCCUUGUCACUGAAAUGCUACUGAAUGAUACAUAUGUCAUCUCAGUACUUUCAGUUGAUAUUGAAGAGUGGAGGCAACCGUUGAUCGACUACUUAGAGCAUGGAAAACUUCCAGAUGAUCCUAGACACCACUCCGAAAUACGUCGAUGAGCACCUCGCUUCCUCUACUACAAAGAAACACUCUAUCGGCGCUCUUUCGAAUGCGUACUUCUGAGAUGCCUAGGUGAGGAAGAAACCAAUCAAGCCAUGGAAGAAGCACACUCAGGCGUAUGCGGGGCGCAUCAAUCUGGACCAAAGCUACAUUUCCAGCUCAAGAGAAUGGGUUACUACUGGCCAAGCAUGGUGAAUGACUGCCUGGAACAUGCCAAAAGGUGCCAAGCCUACUAAUUCCACGCCAACUUCAUACAUCAACCACCUGAGCCAUUACACCCUAUAGCUGCUUCAUGGUCAUUCGAUGCAUGGGGAUUGGACGUCGUAGGACCAAUUGCUCCAAAGUCAUCUGCAUGAGAAACUUACAUCCUAGCUGCAACAGAUUACUUCUCCAAGUGGGCUGAAGCCGUACCCCUAAGGCAAGUAAAGAAGGAAACUGUUGUCCAUUUCAUCAAGGAGCAUAUCAUUCACAGAUAUGGUGUGCCUUGCUACAUCAUCACCGACAACGGAAAACAAUUCUCCAAUCGACUCGUAGAUGAGCUCUGCGAGAAAUACAAGUUCAAGCAGCACAAGUCUUCCACGUAUCAUGCUCCGGCCAAUGAUCUUGCGGAAGCAUUCAACAAAACAUUGUGCAAUCUCCUAAAGAAGGUGAUCGAUCGAACAAAGAGAGACUGGCACGAAAGGAUAAGUGAGGCACUUUGGGCAUAUUGUACAACACAUAGGACUCCAACCCAAGCUACACCUUAUUCUAUUGUAUAUGGCGUGGAAGUUGUUCUACCGCUCGAAAGUCAAAUCCCCUCACUAAGAAUGGCUAUACAAGAAGGCUUGAUUGAUGAAGAGAAUGAAAAGUUGCGCCUUCAAGAGUUGGAAGCACUCGACGAAAGAAGGCUCGAAGCUCAACAACACUUGGAAUGCUACCAAGCACGGCUAUCCAAGGCAUUCAACAAGAAAGUCCGCCCAAGGUCUUUCCAAACUGGAAAUCUCAUCCUCGCAUUGCGUAGGCCUAUCAUCACAACUCACAAGACAAAAAGCAAGUUCACAUCAAAGUGGGACGGACCAUACGUAAUACAAGAAGUCUACACCAACGGCGCCUACUUAAUCAUGGCAGAAGACGACUUGAAGAUCGGCCACAUCAAUGGCAGAUUCUUGAAGCGCUACUACCCUUAAAACAAACGCCAUACUCCUGGCCCGCAAGAGUAUAAACUGCGCACGGCACAAAAAAAAAAGCAUUUGAACUACGUUAUGACUUGAUCCCUCCUCAACCGAGGGUACAUAGGCAACUUGAAACGUCAAAACUUCAAGUAUAGUCACACCAUCUAAAAUAAAUAAAUAAAUAAAAUAUAAAUAUAAAUAAAAACACUUUGAAGAAUGAAGAGCAAAUUCAAAAAUGUAAAUACUUUAUUUCUUUAAAAAAAGGAGUCGGCUCCAAAGCCUGAUUACAAGAAAAAAACAGAAGAUACUACUUGAAAACUAUGUCCCUAAAACUGCGAAUGCGAUCUUCAAACAAGCCUUCCAAAGUCUUCAAAGUCUUUACCUUGGUGGGAGACAAGAUGGGCAACUCCAUAGUCAUGCCUUUCUCUCGUUCUAAGCGUGAAAUCUCCUCUUGGCAUUGAGAAAGUGUAGUUUCCUGCUCCGCGAGAACACUUUCGAGUCGCAAUGCUUCGAUUACCAACUGCUCUCGCUCUUGCACCAACACAUCUAAACACACCUGGACAGAAGUUAAAGAAGUCUCAACUUGAUAAUCUCCCGAAGCAGCUUGCUGAAAAGACUGGACUUGAGCCAGUGACAAGUUUAUUGUUGCUAGCUGAUGAGCUCUAACAUCUGGGCUCAACUUCUCCAAGGAAAUAGCACACAAGGAAGAAUACUCAGUCGAGACGGUCAUAAGUUCGGCAAUCUUGAUCUUCAAGGAUGAAUAAUCAACGUUAAGGUUGUCAAUCACAGAAACAAGCUUCGACAAAUCCUCAUUGAGCAACGUAAGGUCUUCCAACGGGCACUUAGAAAUCCUUUUCUCUAUAUGGCUCUUGAUAUCCAUUACCGCACCAAGACUGAUGCGAUGGAUGACUUGCUCAGUACCGCUAAGGUUCGGCCCUCUCAAAGAGAUCUCAAAAUUAGCUGGCAAAGAUGUUGGACGCAUGGUGGGUUCUUGCAUACUUUCACCUACACAUGGAAAACUCGGGAAGUUCGACGGAUUUGGAACAAGCUCUGCACCAGGCGGAUCCCCAAUCUCCCUGUCUGGAGGUAGGUCGCCUGCAAAUAGCAUAUCUAUAUAGGAAUAAACAUCUGCAUUUUCCAAAUCAGAAGGACGAGAAGGCCCAACCUAAAGAAGACAAAGAAAGAUGUUAGAAACGAAAGCCAAAAUAAUGAAAGUAGAAGAAAUCACGAGAGAAAAUGAAGUACAUACAUCUCUCUCAAAUGGCUCACGGUCAUCGAAUUGAGGAGGUCUAAACAUUUCUUUCUUCUUAUGACGAAAAUUGACAUCGCUGUCAACCUGAGCAUCCUCAAGUGGUUGUUUGUUUGAAACUUGUUGACGCUGCUGCAAAAUAAAUCCAUCUUCGUGCGAGUCAACUUCAUCUCCUGCCUCUUCAGAAGCAUCCGGAUGUCGAGGAGACAAGCAUGGGCGUUGAAGAGCUAAAGCUACAAGUCUAUCUUGUAAGGGAGCCGCACUCGCGCAAUCAAGAUGCACCAGUCGCAUAGGAACCACAUGACAACCUUAUCUUGACAUAGCAUCGCCUGAGUGAGAAGAAUUGGUACCACUUACCAUCCCCAAGUUCUUGUAAUGUGUCUUUGACCACAAACGUGCGUAAACACGGGUCACUGGAUUACUCUUGAACUCAUCCUUGGCUAGCAGCGUGAUAACAACAUUUGUGAAUGAACGGGUACAAGACUCCCAAUGCAUGUACACGGCUUGCAGGGAUGCCGAUUGGUUCUUUUCCUUCAGCUUGCCUGGCACAUUUUGGACAAAACCGAAUUGCCUGCUGAAACGGUGGGGACUAUAUGGCUGAACAAUGCAUCGGUCUUCUUGCCGCAAAGAAACAAACCCCGAGCGAAGACUUAUAAGAUAAGUCCGAGAAGUGGAGAUGCGAAUUGUCCACGAUGCCUCGCUGCACCAAGCCAAGUCUCGCUAAAGGGUCUAUCCUCAAAUCUUCAUAACUUUUAAAUAGCGCUCGCGCCUGCAAAUCAUCAAGGCUCUUUGCGGAGAGCACACCAGAAUACUUCAUCAUCAAAGGCCCCAGUUUGGCUCCAGUCGAUGAAGAAGACCUUGACUUGUCUAGAGUCGACAAAGAAAAAUGAGUGCCAAAAUAUUAACCCAACCAACCAUACACAUAGUGGUAAGGAAGCACCGCAGCACGAUCUUCAGUGCUUGCCUAGUCCGAGACAAUGCUCAAGCCAUUGUAAAUGUUGGCUAAGACCGGAAUAGCAAGGCUAAAAGACUCACAUGCAGCCAUCUUGCUAGCAACUUUGAAAACUCCAGGAUGAACUAAGUUGACGUCGCCUGCAGGGAAAACAAACUUACAAAGCCAACAAGCUAAGAAAGCAGUUAGGUAAGACUCAUCCACAUGCUCUGAUGCUAUGCCAAGAUCCUCAAACGCUCUCAACUCGUCAGAAAAGCAACGCCUGGUUGAGCCAAUAACACCGGACGGGUCUGAGUCUCCCUUUGGCCUAGUGGUCUUAUUAAUACCAUUUUUCUUCAAAGGCUUCUUAUACCUCAUGGCCUUCUAGUACCAAAAUCGGAUCCACGAGGAAAUCAUCACGCCUGAUUUACCUUGAGCAUCCUGAAAAAGCUUAUGAUACGCUCAAAACAAAUAGCGGCAACUCGUAGGCAAUCCUCGGCUAUUGCAAAGAGAAAGUUCCUCCGCGCUAGGAACAACCUCGUCGUACAACCUACCUUGGAUCGGCAAGCCUCCUAUCCUGUGAAGAUCCCAAAGUGAAAUUAACAUAUCCCCUUGCGCCGUGUGAAGUGUGUUGGUCGCUGAACACCAACGCUCAAAGAACACAUGAAUGACGGAAGGAUGGCAAUCAUAACUAAACAAAGAUACGUACACAGCGUGGUAAAGGCCCACGUUAGUAAGCACAUCUUUAGAUCGGCUUAAGACAUCUUCAAGCCACUCCCAAUAAAACUCAUCAAAAACGGCCUCUCCAGCAGUCGACAGGGUACCAUUCCAAGCCAUAGCUCCGCUGCGGAUGUGAUCACCAAGAAGCUUAAACGUGGCCGAGUGAUUGUCACCAGCAUGGUGCGAAGGAUUCAAGAUAAGAAUCUUCAAGAUGCACGUCUUCUUCUUCGUAUCUGGUUGAACAGAAUCUACCACCUCCCAAGAUACUUCGGAAGACCACGACUUAAUAUGCAUGGAGUUAUCUUUUACAGGAAGGGCAAGCGCCUUCGGACCAGUUAGUGGCUCGUAAAACUUCAACGUUGUUCCUCUAUCUUGCGAAUUGCCUGCCUUCGCAAGAAUGGUGAUGGUGCUGCUCUUAAAGCACUUCAAAAAUACCAUGACCUCGAAAAAAAUCAGCCACAAAACUUGAGCAGCACGGCAAAGAGGGCAGUUACAAGACAGUCCUUCCAAGCGGCGGUAAAAGGCACAUCAAUGUCACCACCGAGGAAAGUUGUGACCAAAAGGCAUUACACAGUAUAAACUCGCUGCAGUCUCUUGCACAGCUCCACACGGUAGCGCACCACCGAGGGAAAAAAACUAUGAAUAAAAGGCACUACACAGCGAAGCCCCGCUGCAGUCUCUUGCACAAGCACUAGGCAGCAAGUACACCCACAGCCUGUUACCACGUCUCUAAAAAAAGAAAAAAACUUCACGAGGGUCCCGGCAUCAAACUCUACUUCCUCAAAAUUAAAGAUUCCCUGCAUAACAACAAAUCCAUCAGUGGGGUACACACAUUAUGUGUAUAAAUACACACAUUAUAUUAUAUAUAUAUAUAUAUAUAUGCGGUGAUGUGGUGUCUAUAUAUAUAUAUAUAUAUAUAUAUAUAUAUAUAUAUAUACAUGUGUGCGGUGGUGUGUGUAUGUGUAUAUAUUAUAUAUUAUAUAUGUAUGGUAAUGGGACAAUCAACGUCCAUGCGUAUGUAUAUAUAUAUAUAUGUACAUGUCAAAAUCAUGCAAAGGCUCACCACGUAAAGGGCUUCACAAAAGAGUUUGCUAGCUUUCCCUCUUCCCCGAUUUCCACCGACAGCAACAACAACCACCGCCGUCUCAAUCACAGCAAAGUCAAUAAGGUCAUCCAAACACUACUAUUUCAAGUGGUUUUUCGUCGUCCCAGAAGCAUUUGCAAAAUCAGCAGCAGAGACCACAUCCAAGUGUUGUCAAUAGCAGCAGCAGGAGCUUGCAAAGCUUUCCUUCCUCAAAAAACCAACCUUCGCAAGCAAUACAGCUGCGACAACAGCAACCGAAAAACCUGCAUGCUUUGCGUCAACUUGAAACUGAAAUGGAUGGCGAAGACAACCCAUGCACUCCGUGACUCGAAUGAGUUGGAAGGGAAACUGGGUACUUGUUCUAAAGCCUUACAAGAAGGCUUAUUUAUACACCACAGAAAUUGAGGAAUUUGAUCAACGUUACAGAGCACAUGCAGGGAAUGAUGGCGCUCACACACGCAAGCAGCCUGCACAGAAGUCUUUUGUUAAAAGCUGGGAAAAGCUUUAACAAAAGGGUUUAGGGUUUAGGGUUUAGGAUCGAUGAGAAAUCUGAGCAGGGCCUCGAAGACCUCGAGGACAAUCUCUCACUCUCUCACGCUUCGACAAGAAAAUCUUCCAACAACCACCACGACUGCAACAGCCAGCUUCUCUCAGACAUCUUCUCUCUCAUAUAUAUAAAUGUACUGUUGUUUCGUGCAGACGUUGAAGUCGAUACAUGUGCAGAGCUCGAGUCGACGAAGAUGCAUGCGGUGGGGAGACAGAUGUUGUGAUCUAGUUCGUUAAUGCACCACCACCAUCUUCAGUACUUGGACCACUUCACAGACGCGUCGUCCAAGAGGCUGCAGUCCACCAAUCUGUCACAAGACUUCAAGCUGCACAUGAGGGAGGUGAACAUGCAUAUGGAGGCCAGCGAAGAGAAUCAUUUGAACGUGAAGCACUGUGAGCAUGCAUGUGGAGGCCAGCGAAAAGAAUCAUGAGGGGAACACAUGCAGUGCAAUGCAAAAGAUAAAGAAAAAGAAAAGGAAGCACCACCGAAAGCCAAAAAAAAAAAAAAGAUAAUAAUAUAAAAGAAUGAUGGUGCAUCUGGCACCAUGUGAAAAUAUAUAUAUAUAUAUAUAUAUAUAUAUAUAUAUAUAUAAUGGAUUGUGCAUCUGGCACCAUGUGCAAAAAAAAAAUUAUAUAUAUAUAUAUAUAUAUAAAUGAAUGGUGGAUCAGCACCAUAUGAAAUAUAUAUGUAUAUAUAGACACUAAAUGAAAUAAAGCUUAUUUAUUGAUAUUUCCGAUAAGUUACAAAUAUGAACAUAUACAUGAAUCAAAAUAAACAAACAAGAGGGAGCCUUCACAAAGGUUGCUCAGAAGAAGUCUCAGCGGUCGGCAGAGCCCCAGAUCGAAGAGGCACCAAAGGGUGAUUAUUCAAAGCCUCAGUACUAGGCAGAACCCCAGGAGGAGAAGGCACUGAAGGUUGAUCAUUUGGAGCUUCAUUACGCGGUAUAACCCCAGAAGACAAAGGCAAAUGUUGUUGGAACAGACCCACAAACCUCUGAUGAUCAAGUAAAAUCUGACCAUCAGAUUCCUGCAUCUGGUCAAUCUUCCUCUUCAUGUUUGUAGCAUAGUUAUGUGCGAGCAUGUGCAACUGUUUAUUCUCAUGCUUGAGCCCUCUAAUCUCCUGUUUGAGACUCAUCACUUCAGCCGUCAAUGAUUCAACUUGACGGGUUCGAGCAAAUAGACGUUGGGCCAUAUUAGACACAGAACCUGCACACUGCACACUGAGAGCAAGAGAAUCCUUAACAGCUAACUCCUCAGACCGUUUGGAAAGUAGUCUGUUAUCUUUGGGAGUGACAAGGUUCCGGGCCACCACCGUAGCGAUCAUAUCAUUCUUCACCAUCGAAUCCCCAACGGUAAGAGGACCAGUAGGGGAUAUGAAGGAUGGGCGCCAUAUGGUGUCUGGAGAAGGCAUGGCUGCCUUUUCACCUAGGUUCAAGUUAAAACGACGGUCGGAGAGGCUAGACAUUUUCAAAGAUGUUGAAGAAAGAAGAGGUCAGACAAAGUCAAGAUCUUAAAAGUGCAAGAAGGGAGUUUUUACAGGUAGAAAUUCAAGUGUGCUUUGAAACGUACUGCAUGCCUCUAUAAAAAUUAGCACUCGACGGGAUUUCAGAGAUCGAAUAGGCGAGCUCAGAAAUCGAAGAAGCCAAAUUCAAAAAUCAAAGAGGCGCUAGCUUUCUCAAAAGUUGGGCUUGCUCAGAAACCACAGGCCAAUCUUCUUUUCCAGAUUUAUCCGCACUUGUCACAUGCAACCUCUGCACUCGACGGAGCUCAGAACUCAAAGAGGCGAGCUCAAAACUCGAAGAGGGCAAGCUCAGAAAUCGGAAAGGCACUUGCUUUUCCUGACAUGUCAGCGCCUAUCACAUGCACACUCAGCCUUGCACAAAUCACGGGCAGUUUGUUGAAGCGCCGAUUCCAGAUAUCGAAUAGGCACUUGCUUUUCCUGACGUGCCAGCGCCUGUCACAUGCACAAUCAGCCUUGCGGAAAUUACGGGCAAUCUGUCGAAGAUUUCUUGUGAAGUAGAAAGCACGUGAAGUUUACUGUUAAAACAUCUAACGGUUGCCGACAAGAGUGAAAAAAUAGUACCGGUUAUUAAUUCCUAUCCCUCCAUUGCAAGGAAGACAUACAUAACAUUUCUUCAUCUCUGAGAAUGCCUUCCCAAUGAAGCCUCUCGAGUCACUCAGUGUUCCUUAUUCCUUGGGGUACCUCUGCAAACAACUCAUCCAAAGCAAAAGUAUUUCAUAUCAUGAGGGUUGAAAGCAAGAGUAUCUCAUAUCAUGCUUUCUCCCUGUCCUUCUCCUUGUCGUUGUUUUCACCUGCAGGACAAGAAGAAAGAAAGCAAUCAGCCAGCACUUGGUAUCAAUCUUCCAAUCUGGAACCGACUGCCUGGAACCCCUUCCUGAUUGCUUACCUAGCCGUGCUCUCGAGUACUCAUCUUCAACAUCUUAUGCUUUCUCUUCGUCUACCACAUCUGCCUGGGGAACAGUUAAGGGAAGUGAAAAUGAUACCUCGAAGCAUAUGGAGACAAUGUGCUAAUUCAUCCUCAGCUAGGGACAAGGAGAAAGAAAGCAAAUGGUCGGCACUUAGAAAGAUUGAAAAAGGAAACAGACCAUCACUUCUACCUCGUGUCUGCCUGCCGUGCAGAAGAAACAAGCAGAGAAUAAUGUAGACUGCACAUUCAAAUCAACCCAGCAGAAUGAGUCUGAUUUGAAACCAAGGAACUCUUAUAUCCCUCGCUCAGAAUUCCAAACCCAGUUCAAAAGAAGCUGUGGAAAGUCAACAAUCGGAGGAAGCCAAAAGAUCCUCCAACCCAGUUCAAGAUCAAAGUUGUGGAAAGUCAACAAGCGCAACAAAAUACGUGCCGAUUCAUCCACUACCAAAGCCAAAGAUCAUCUACCACGUGAAGCUCCUUGUGGUCCAAUUUCAACCUUCAAGAACAAGCCUCGACUGCCCUUGAAGAAAUUUCAAACAAAAGUUCAAGAACAAGCCUCAAGGGCCCUUGAAGAAAUCUUCAGCCCAAUUCAAGAUCAAGCCUCAGCGGCCCUUGAAGAAACUUCCAAUCCAUUUCAAGAUCAAGUCUUGAUGGCCCUUGGAUCAACAUCUACAAUAAGGGACUUCAAAACGCAUCUCCUACACGUGACAAGCACAUGUAUACAAAGCGCCUUGAAGUGGGGGCAUUUGUAGACAUCGAAAUUUCGGUAAAUAAAUGUUGACCGAUAAAUCAAAGUUUCAACACUCAUGUAUUACAUAAAUUUUACACGUAGCGUGUGUCUAAACAAAAAAUCGAAAUAAGUCGGAAAAGUCAUCAAACAGGACACGUGUCAACGUCCGGCAGAAAUGAUUUAUUUCAUCUGAUUAUUUAAUCCCAAAAAUCAAGUUUUGGAAUUCUAUAAAUAGAAGCCAAUUUCAUUCAUUUAAAAAAAAACCAAUUCAUAACCAAUUCACCUCACACCAAAACCUUGAAGCUUUGAAACUCCAAAGCUCCCAAGCAAAUCCUGAAGGUCAAGAAAGCUCUCUUCAUUCUUCGUCAACCCAACCUUCAAGAUCAAGCCCCGACGGCCCUUGAAGAAAGCGUUCAUCGUUCAUCAUCCGUUCAUCCUAAGAUCAAGCCCCCAACGGCCCUUUGGAUCAACAGCAUCAACAAAUCCACAUAUCCAACCGUUCUUCAAGAUAAAGCCCAAAAGCCCUUGAAGAUCCAUUCAUCAACUGUUCAUCAAGAUCAAGCCCCAAAGGCCCUUGAAGAUCUGUUCAUCAACAAUUCUUCAAAAUCAAGCCCAAAAGCCUUGAAGAUCCGUUCAUCCAUCAACCUUCAAGAUCAAGCCCAAAUGCCCUUGAAGAAACUUCCCUCAACCUUCAAGAUUAAGCCCCAACGGCCCUUGAAGAAAACUUUCGACCGUUCAUCCAAGAUCAAGCCUUGACGGCCCUUGGAUCAAUCGCACAUCCACAAAUCAACACCUUACGGAGAUCGAAUCAGAUGAUCAAAUUUGAGAGAGAUUGUAACCCCUAAAUCAUUAAUACAAAUAUUAUUUUGUACACGUGUUCUUGUCUCGUUCGUUUCAGGAAUUUCCGUGUUUACAAAAUUGUCAGGCCUAUACUUAAUCACUUUGGCCUAAAGGCAUGCUUUUGUGUGAGGAACUCAUUUAGUGGGUUAACACAUUGUGACCUUGUUUAUUUGUGAAAGUGGAUCCACUUGGCCAUAUCUUUUAUUCUCUUUCGUGCUUAGUUUUAGUACUAUCUAGUGGAUUUUUUAGUUUAAUGCUACGUUCUGGUGUCACCAUUUGUAUGUACGUAUCUCAGAAUUAGGAUGUGAAUUAAACCCUAAGCCUUCAGUACUAAAAUCAUAAUUCAACCAUAAAGUAAUUACCAUGAGAAGACAUUCUUGUGUAGAGAACCCGCAUCGAGAUAAGUGUGAGAGAAAAUAAGACCAAAAAAGGAUAAGUGUGGGCCUCAAAAUUAAGAAAAGUGAAAUAAAGGGUAUUUUUGUCACUUGACCUUUAAAGACACGUGGUUCGGCACUUGGCAGUUGGACCUUAGAAUUUCUCCACCAUAAGACCCUAAACUUUACUAGACAUUGUAUUCAUAACCCCUAAUAUGUCUUACACAAAAUAAAAUAAAGGAAAAGGAUAAACAAUAGAAAAACAAACCUAGUUAUUAUAAGAGAAGUCAAUUCCCAUUUGGGGGGUUUAUAAUAAUGUAAUAUUUUCUUUCUUUUGUUCCUCAAAACAAAAUGAAAACAUUUUGGUACAACACCUUCUUGCUGAUGAAGUUCCAAAACCAUCAUACUUGGAAACCUCAUGUCAUCAUAUGUCUAGUCCUCCUAAUGACUUAUUUUCUCAUUUCCCAAGGUUCCCAAACAAUGAUUUCCGCUUGUCAAAAUGCUCGAAAAUUCUAUUAUACUUCAAAGUAUUCUAUAAUCCAGAGUUUUUGGUCAUCACAUUUUAACAAAGUACAAACAUUUUUGACAAAUGCAAAGAAUCCCCAAUAAAGAAUAGAGAGCAAUUCCACCUUUCCCUUGUCCAUCUUUCCCUCCCUAUUCACUGGCUUUUCAUGGAAUCUAACACAGUUGCAGACUUGUAUACCCAAAGCUGGGUUCAGGGUUUAGCUUUUGUGCACCUAACUUGGCUUCUCUUGAAGAUGUGAUUAGAAAUAGUAUGUAAAGCCGUCAACCGUGGUCGUCAAUGAAGAUUUGAUGGACAACGAGGGUUGGUAGAACCCAUUCAAAACACACUGGUAGCUAAGUUUUGGUCAUCAUGCUACAAUUCAAUUUUCACAACCAUUAUAAACUAAUCAAAUUAAGCCAAUAAUAACUAGCUUUUACAAAAAUUAAAACAAAUCAAACUUGGUCUUUCCCUGUUUAAAAAUAAAGUUCCACCGUAAGUUGAGGGAGAUUAUAGUGGAAAAGGCCUUUGAAUUGACAUAUUUACAACUCCUAAUCAUAGCUAUUGUAAAAGACGCUACGACCCUCACUCCGAACCUUCAAGUUACAAGUUUUCUUUAAGAAAAAAGAAAAACAAUGGGGGAUAAAAAGAAGUGAAUUCAUAAGCCCACCAACAAAGGAAUUUUCAUCUUUGUAAACAUCAUUUAAUUUCAAAUAAUGUUGUUUCAAAAAAGAAAAAAAGAAUGUAGGUUCAUCUACCCUCAUUGGCUAACUGUAAAGACCCUUCUCUCAUCAACUUCAAGCUUAUGCUGUUGAAUCUUUCCCGUGAAUAUUGCCUGGAUGCUUUUCUCCAAUCUGUACCAGCCUUCAUCAUAGCAGCAAACUCCUCGUAACUGAUGCGCCCAUCCUGCAAGACAGCCAUACAAGAAUGGUUGUAGUUUAUGUUAUCGUUGAUGCACACACUACUAGUUAAUGAUAUUCACACAUAACUUGAUUACAAAUAUUGAUACAUGCACAUAACAAAAGUAAUAAAAAAGUACUCUUACAAAAUGAAGGCAUCUUAACUAGUGUAUUGACUUUGUUCUUAGGAUAAGUAUUUUCCGCAUAAAGACCAACUAAAAACUACAAUUUUCUUGACAAAAAAAAGAACCUAAAGGCAACAACCAAUACAUGGCAAGGUUAAUUAUUAGGGGAAGGCUUGAAGGUUUAAAAGUAGGGCCUUUUAACCAUGUAAGCUGGAAUAAAACGUUUUGGAUGAAGGAUAAAGCUUUUUGUUAAUUGUAUCAAAACUGUUUUUCUAACCUUAUCUGUGUCUACGUCAUGCAUAAUUGCAUGGAUGACUUCCUCACCACCUGUGUCAACAUCAUCAGUUAAAGCAUUUCUUAAUUCUUCAAUUUCUAUGUAACCACUUUGGUUUUGGUCGAAGAAUGAAAAGGCUUUAUGCAGAUGCUCGUCAUUUGCCAUUCUUUUAAGGUGAACCGUAACAGCAACAAACUCUCCAUAGUUGAGAGCUCCAUCCCCAUCGACAUCAGCCUGUAGCAAUCAGAAAUCAAUUAGUUACUUCAUAAAGUCCCCAAAAGAAACUAACAUGUAGGACCGUUCCCCUGUCUCUUUCUCUUGUAAAAAGUUUUCUUUUCUCUUUUCCAAAAUUUCUUAUUUUUAGUUUGCUUCUUGAGAUUUAACAUGAUGCAAAGUAAGACACAUUAUUAUGCAACCCUAGGUUAAAAGUAAGAAGGCAAGUUGGCGAAGCACAAAUUAAUACUUACCGCUUCCAUUAGUAUUUGAAGAUCUGGAUCAGGAAUAUUUUGCCCCAGCUGUUGUAUCCCACUUCGUAGCUCUUCUAUGGUUACCUUGCCCUUGUUGCCAGCAUCCAUCAUUUGAAAAGCCUCUUUUAUGCCAGCAACUUCCUCAACUGACAAAUGGUCAGCUAUGACCUAUGCAUGAAAUGGUCAAGGGUUCAAACAUUGAAUAUAUGGUUAACUUUAACACAACAUACAAGUUGCUCAACAUAAAUUCCUUCAAUAACUAUGGAAUCCCAAUAAAUAAUUUCAAAACAUUACCCCUAGAGCUCUUUUCUUCAGCUUGUUCAUUACAGAAAAUUGCUUCAACCUUGCUCUCACAGUCUCACCAAGUGGGACAUUUGGGGCCUUCUUGGCAUUUUGAAUCCAAUGAUGAUCUACAAGAAAAAAAAAAGGAUUAACAUGUCAUGUAAAGCAAUAAAACUUUGGAAAAUAUAAGAUAUCAAAUUACUAC
This 57735-nucleotide long non-coding RNA is filed under the name Malus domestica (apple). RNAcentral's name for it is "long non-coding RNA (MDOM_LNC010600)". Lineage: Eukaryota; Viridiplantae; Streptophyta; Magnoliopsida; Rosales; Rosaceae. The record is from RNAcentral.